AUUUUUUUUUUUUCUCUUGUUGGAUAUUUCGUGGAAUGAAAGGAAUCAAGGGUAUCUUGUUCGAUUCAUCCGAGAGAGAUUUUUUUUUUUUUGAAAAAAAAAAUUGUACAAAAAAGCAUUUGGAUUUGAUUUGAAAAAAAAAGAGAAGGAUUGAGAGAAAGAGAGAAAUUAUAUGCAGAGAAUAUCCUCCUUCAAUUUCUUCUUACUUCUCUCAUUAGCUUAUAUAUAUAUUUUUCCCCUUCUAAGUUAAAUUCUUGUAUUAAUCAAUCAUGGCUAUAAAUUUGUAGAAUAAUCUCCUUGAUCUAAACUUUAAUGAGAUCUCGAUUCGAAUUCGGUUUGCGAAUCGAUUUAGUGUGGAAGGGAUCAUGCCUAAGAAGCACAAGCCUAAGCGCCUUUAUCAAGUUUGGAAAGGGAACAAUGUGAGUUUUUCUUUUUUCUUUUUUUUCCCUUCUCUAUUAAUUUCAUUGUGAAAUUCUUACUUAUUGGGAAAUUAAUUUUGUUAUUCGGCUUGAAAAUUAUGUAAAUUUUUUCUUAUUUUUUGAUUCAUAUCUAUAUGUUCUCUAUUGGCAUCCUUAUUUAUGUGAUUUUAUUCCGUGUGCCUCCGUAUACUGUUGUUUGGCUAAGUUUUAGGAUAUAUCACUUUUUUUUUGUGAUUAAGUUUCUUAUCGUGAUCAAUGGUUUAAAUGAUGCAAUCACAGCGACAAAAGAUGAAUAGUUAGUAAUAUGUAGAAGUUCGGGAUCUCAUGCACAUUAUCACAAUCACAAUUCAGGAUUAUCCGGCUCGCAACUGCUUUAAUACUAUAUGUAAUGACCAAGCCGAGCAACUUGCUUAAAAUGCUUCGGCUCAGUUAUUGGUACUAUAUUUCUCAGUCAUUUAUAUACUUUAAGUACAAUUAGAUAAAAAUAGUAUUACAAUUCUAGUGAUAUACAUAUUUCAAAUUGAACUAGAAUGCUUCUAGAAGUAUUAAACCCUUGAUAUUUCCACAUUGUUUUUUAAUAAUAGUGUCUCCGCAUCAAUGGUUACAACAUUAACAUCAUCUACGUCUCGUGAACUUCAUAUAAACCACAUUUUAUUAUUUUUCGAUGUUAUUUACCUAAUAAUCAAAUGGUCUCAAAUAUUAAAAUUUGUUAAUUUUGAGACCACUUGAACAAUAUAUAAAUAAUAUUGAAAAAUUAUAAAAUUUAAUAUCUAGGAAGUUCAUGAGACAUAGAUGAUGUACAAUAUUAUAAUCGUUGAUUUAGAGAUGCUACCACUGAAAAAAAAAAAUUAUGUAGAUGUAUUAAAUGGUUUUGGUACUUCUAGAAAUAUUCGAGGUCAACUCUUAUCCAGCUGUUAGUUCCAUGAACUAUAGUGGUACAUUUUGAUAUUAGAUUUAUUGUAUAUUAUAAAGCAUUACAUACAUGAAUGAAUGAACUGUUACAGGAAAGAAUAGUAUGUAUAUAAAAUAUUAUUUUGAUUACAAAGAUGAGAAAUAGUCCUACAUUGAUACCCGCAGCAUCACUAUUUAAUACUUGGAUUUUUUUUUAAUAAUUCUUGAUGCUAUUGCUUACUAUUAUAUAUGCGUAAUGAUAAUUAAAAUAAAAAAAAUGUCUUUGCUGGGAGCAAACAGAUUUAAUGAAUCUAUUCAAAUUUAGUCAGUAAAUAGCAACUAGAUUCAAUGAAUCUAUAUAUCAGUAUCAAAGUAAGCUCUGUUAAGAAUAUGAUCGCAUCUUAAUACCUUGUUUUGCUGUUCUUUCUUUAGAGGUUCUUUUGCAGUGGACGACUGAUAUUUGGUCCGGAUGUAGCCUCAUUGCUCAUAUCCACACUUCUAAUAGUUGUACCAACAAUCAUGUUUUGCUAUCAAAUAACUGCUAAAAUCCACAAUCAUGAUAAGUUGCACGACGAGGUAAAGAUCAAUGCUCAACACCCAGUGCUCCAAUUUCCAGUGCUAAUUGUAACAAUCAUUGCAUUGAUAUCGGUUAGUAGCAAGAAACUAUCAAAAAUGUACAAUUUGUAACUUAAGAUCGUAAAAUGGUACUUCUGAUCUUAAUAUAUUAUUUUACUACUAUGCAGGACUUGUAUUUUCUCUUUAUGACAUCUUCUCAAGACCCGGGAAUAGUACUGAGGAAUGCAAGGCCACCGGAAGUGGAUGAAGCAUCUGAUAUCCUGACUCCGUCGAUGGAAUGGAUUAAUGGGCAGACGCCAUGCAUGAGAGUACUAAGAGCAAAGGAUGUGAUAGUAAAUGGUUUUGCUAUAAAAGUGAAGUACUGCGACACGUGCAUGCUGUACCGCCCACCGCGUGCCUCUCACUGCUCGAUCUGCAACAAUUGUGUUCAGAAGUUCGAUCACCAUUGCCCGUGGGUCGGUCAGUGCAUUGGAUUAGUAAGUAAGAGUAUCUGAUAAAAAAAAUUUCGUGCCAAUGAUGAUUUAAUGUGUUGAUUUACAAGCAAAUUUCAAGCCAACCGCAUUAAUUACUUCUAUCUUUUUAUGUUUUUUUUGUUUGGCAAAUAUGUAGUUGAUAGACAUACAAUUUUGCCUUUUUUUUUUCUACUUGGUCUAAGCUUUUGUUUUUUUAUUUUUAUUUUUGAUGUCCAGUUUAAAUUUAUAACAACUUAUUCCUAUUUUACUUCUCCAGAGAAGCUAUAGGUAUUUCAUCUUAUUCAUAUCAACAUCAACUUUUCUCUGCAUAUACAUCUUUUUAUUCUCGACGCUGAACAUUGUUGGAGAGAAGAAUAACUAUCCUGGUUCUAUUUGGAAUGUCAUGAAAAGAGAGGUUCUGUCGCUUGUACUUAUGAUUUACACUUUUGUAACAGUUUGGUUUAUCGGUGGGCUGACCAUAUUUCACCUUUACUUAAUCGGCACAAAUCAGGUACUUCCUUCCACCAUUCGUAGGACAGUUUAUGUUUAUGAACUAGUUGGAUGCAAUUCACAUGGCAAUUAAUCUAACUACGAUCGAGGAUAAUGAACUUGUUGGAUAGUAAUCUAAAUUUUAUAAGCUAAAAGAAAAACUAUCUCGACAAUUGGUCCAUUUCAAUCAACCAUUUACUCCUUGUUUCAUUCAGCUUUUGUUAGUAUCACAAUCUAUGUAGAAAAUUGACAAACUGUUCAUAUAGUUUUUACUGUUGAAACUGUGGCCUACUGUCUAUAAAUUAACUCUGUUCUUCAUAUUAAAGAGCGAUUUUUGAUAAGAAAAAUUAGAUACUUUUGAUGAAUUUACAUAGAGUGUUAUAUUAAUCGUACGUCAAUAUUGAUUGCCGCUAAUGUACUAUAAUCUUUUUUGUUUAAAAAGUAAUAUAUUCUAAUUUCUAUUGUUUAAUUGACGCCACUUCUACACAGACAACCUAUGAAAACUUCCGAUAUCGUUACAACAGAAAGGAAAAUCCGUAUAGCAAGGGUAUCUUAAGAAGCUUUACGGACUUAUUUUUUUCAAAAACCCCACCUUCGAUGGUUAACUUUCGGUCCCGGAUCCCCGAGGACGCGCCGGAAACUCGAUCUUAUUCUCCAAAUGAAAAUGACAGCAAGGAAGCAUCAAAUGAACGCAUUCCAGGCAUACUGCAGAACCUGGAAUACAGUUCUACUAAAGAUAAUAACAAUGAUUCUGAUGAUGAAGAGACAAGAGAGGUUGAUCAUGUUUCUAUAGAAGUAGGUGAAGCUAUAAAUAGAAGUGCUUCUAUGGAUGCAGAUAGAAUGACUGCUUAUGAAAGUGCUCUUGAGGAAAGUUACUCGAGCUCAACCUUGAUCAUCUCUGAUCAUAAUCUUCACAUAUCAAGGACAUGAGGUGAUAAAUUUUACCUUGUUAAUUAGCUUCCUUAUUUAUACUUUUCUGUAUAUUGCCCUUUUUUUGGGGCUAUUUUUUUCCUCUCGAGUUUAGUAAGUAGAAUAAUGUUGUUGAAUUGAAUUGUUCUUUUUUUUUCCCCUCCUUUUUGUAUAUAUAUAUAUAUAUAGAGAGAGAGAGAGAGAAAAAAAAGUACGUAAUGCUGACAGGCGGGUUCCACGCGUAUAAGGCAAGAAAAACUUGCCACGUGGACUCCUCAUAUCGGGAUUAAUAAAAGUACCACAACAUUUGACACACGUGAAAAGUAGAUAAACCAUGUGAUUCAAAGGUCAGUUUUGAUUAAAGGUUAGAUGCAAUGCCCAGUAAUCUUGUUAGUACCCUCCAAUUGAAGCUAGCAUGACAAAAACUGUUGUGUCAGUAUAGAUUAAAUAUCGAACAUGACAGGCCUGCAAAGCCAAGUUAAAGAUAGCCCACGAAAACUCAACACUUGUUUUGAGUAUCAUGGGCAUGGCAUUUUUCAUUUCCUUGAUAUAACACUACUGAGUACUUGCUAAAUGUGCACAUGCACGGACACAAGAUCUUAAAAAAGAUAUCUAUGAGAACAUUAGGAUGCUUAAGAAGAAUCUGAUGAUGGGUUAGCAUCUACAUUAAAAUAAAAAGCAGUGUAAAUCCUGCGCCAUUACAACGGUAACAGCACGAAUAAGUACUCAGUCAUCGAAAUGAAGCUUCGAGAUCACAGAAGAUAGAAAAAUGAAGCAAAUUAAAAAAGAAAAAAAGAAAAAGAAAAAAGAGGGAUCACAGAGAAUGCAUGACAAGAUGACGUAAAUUCUGUAGAGAUAGCUUCGGCUUAGACAUGUUUUUACUAUGUGAAAAAAAAAAAAAAUUAUGCAUGCUAAAUUUGAUACAGGAGAUUUCAUUUAUCUAAGUGGUUAAUCACAAUAAUGAAACCAUUGGGACUGAAGCAUCAAUAUUUAGAUUGAAAUUGUGAACAAGAGAGAUCAAACAGAAGAACAAAAUCCUCAUGAGCAGGAAGAAAUAACCUUAUCAGAACUUUGGUGCAUUUUUUAAGUUAUCACCCUCAGCACCUUUCAAGAAAGUUGUUGAAACAAUACUAUUUUAGGAGAUCGAACAAAAUCUGCUCAAAAAUAUUAUCCACCUUGCUUCUGGGGAAAUCUGCACAAAAAUAUUAUCCCAUGAACAAAGUACUAUCCAGAACAAAUGUCCACCAAUGAACAAAGUACUAUCCAGAUGACUCAAAAUUCUUACAUUUCUUCACGCCUACUCCGUAAGGUUUCAAAUUUACAGUUCAUACUAAAAAAUUCUCACAUUUCUUCACAUUUCUUCACAAAAGUAAAAAAAAAAAAAAAUCUUACAAUUUCUAAAGAAGAGACACAGACAAUUGAAAAUCCUUCUGAAACUGAAGUACCCCUACACCUUGUCCUAUCCACCAAUUUAUCCACCAAUCACAUCUGUAAAAAACCAUUAAAGAUCUAUCAGGCAAUCAUAAAUAAAAACAAAAUGAAGUAACAAACAGAAAAAAAAAUACAUGGUUCAACCUCCACAUUUUUAUGAAGGCACAAAAUCCAGGAUCCUAUCAUCAGAAUAAAUGUCCCAACACCAACACCGACUAGGAAUACUACCCAGUCAUACUGUCCCAAGUCUUCCUUCCAAACUUCUACUGGAUCUGUAAUAGUCACUUGAAAAAAAGAUGCAACGGCAUACAACAGGAGAGAGUAAAAAUGGUUGCGUUUUACUGCAUUUGAAUCCACCGGGUCACCGUCGUUAAAGCAGGUGCGUACUAAACCAGCGGUGACGAUUGCCGAGCACACGUGUGCCAUCAAAUUACCAAAAUAGCGUCCUUUUUCAGAGACCCCCAACAAAGAAAAAGGAAGUACUAAAGAAAUAUGAAUUGUUGAAACGACGGAAGUAACAAUGCACAACAGUAAGAGAUGGUUCUUGGAGUCGGAGUGUGUGGCGCGAGCAUGCUAAAACUCCAUUAAAGAAGCUAUAACAAAAGGGAGAAGAUUCAAUAUUCAAGCAGUAAUAUCCCAAAAACCAAGAACUACAUCCGUGCACACAACAGACCAGGUAAAAAAGUUUCGCAAAUAGAUUGAAAACCAAGCAUCCCUAUUUAAGAACAGCAAACAUCAGCAAUAGCAACAGCACAAGUAAAUCCAUAGCAAUAUAAAGUAAAAAUAAGAAAUCAAUAAUAACAAUCAAUCUCACCAUUUCAACUUCAGGGAUAUCGAAAUAACAUCACAUUUGAUUUUCAAGUUAGAUUUGUGCCAACUAAUUAUCUUAUUCUGUUCUAUCACUACUUCCGCACAAGUAAACCAUAGCAAUAUAAAGCAAAAAUAAGAAAUCUAUAAGGAUUAACAAUCAAUCUCACCAUUCCAACUCCAGAGAUAUCGAAAUAACAUCACAUUUGAUUUUCAAGUUAGAUUUGAGCCAACCAAUUAUCUUAUUAUUUUCUAUCACUACUUCCACACAAGUUAAACCAUAGCAAUAUAAAGCACAAAUAAGAAAUCUAUAAGCAUUAACAAGCAAUCUCACCAUUCCAACUCCAGGGAUUUCGAAAUACCAUCACAUUUGAUUUUCACGUUAGAUUUGAGCCAACCAAUUAUCUUAUUCUUUUCUAUCACUACUUCCGCACAAGUAAAACCAUAGCAAUAUAAAGCACAAAUAAGAAAUCUUAAGCAUAAGAUCAAUCUCACCAUUCCAACUCCCAGGGAUAUUCGAAUAAAUAUACAUUUGAUUUUCAAGUUAGAUUUGAGCCAACCAUUAUCUUAUUCUUUUCUAUCACUACUGCCGCACAAGUAACCAUAGCAAUAUAAAGCAAAAUAAGAAUUAUAAGGAUUAACAAUCAAUCUCACCUAUUCCAACUCCAGCGAUAUCGAAAUACAUCACUUUGAUUUUCAGUUAGAUUUGAGCACACCAAUUAUCUUAUUCUUUUCUAUCACUGCUUUCGCACAGUAAAACCAUAGCAAUAUAAAGCAAAAAUAGAGAAAUCUAUAAGGAUUAACAAUCAAUCUUACCAUUCACCUCCAGGGAUAUCGAAAUAACAUCACAUUGCAUCAAUAGAAGAUGAAGAACAAAGCGUGCAAGAAGAUGAAGUUCUAUAUUGUAACGUACAUUGACAUAAAAGAUCAAAUCAGACCCAUAUAGGAAGAUGAAGAAGAUGAAUUAGAAAAAGAUGAAGAACCUACCCAUAAAAUGUCUGAGGAUUAGCCCAACGCGUUCGACUCCUCUCAAAGAACUUGCGGCAAUGUCGUGCGAAUUAGGGUUUUAGAGGGAGCAAUGUCGUGCGAAUUAGGUUUCGACUCCUCAUAUUUCUUCACAAAAGUAAAAAAAAAAAAAUCUUACAAUUUCUUAAGAAGAGCCACAGACAACUGAAAAUCCUUUUGAAACUGAAGUACCCUUACACCUUGUCCUAUCCACUAAUUUAUCCACCAAUCACAUAUGUAAAAAACCAUUAAAGAUCUAUCAGACAAUCACAAAUAAAAACAAAAUGAAGUAACAAACAGAAAAAUAAAAACCUGGAUCAACCUCCACAUUUUUAUAAAGGCACAAAAUCCAGGAUCCUAUCAUCAGAAUAAAUGUCCCAACACCAACACUUACUAGGAAUACUACCCAGUCAUACUGUCCCAAGUCUUCCUUCCAAACUUCUACCGGGUCUGUAAUGGCCACUUUAAAAAAAGAUGCAACGGCAUACAAUAGGAGAGAGUAAAAAUGGUUGCGUUUUACUUCAUUUGAAUCCACCGGGUCACUGUCGUUAAAGCAGGUGCAUAACGGUGACGAUUGCCGAGCACACGUGUGCCAUCAACUCACCAAAAUAGCGUCCUUUGUCAGAGACCCCCAACAAAAAAAAGGAAGUACUAUGGAAAUAUGAAUGGUUGAAACGACGGAAGUAACAAUGCACAACAGUAAGAGAUGGAUCUUGGAGUCGGAGUGUGUGGCGGGAGCAUGCUGAAACUCCAUUACAGAAGCUUUAACAAAAGGGAGAAGAUUCAAUAUUCAAGCAGUAAUAUCCCAAAAACCAAGAACUACAUCCGUGCACACAACAGACCAGAUAAAAAAGUUUCGCAAACAGAUUGGAAACCAAGCAUCCCCAAUUAAGAACAGCAAACAUCAGCAAUAGCAACAGCACAAAUAAAACCAUAGCAAUAUGAAGUAAAAAUAAGAAAUCUAUAAGGAUUGUCACCAUUCCAACUUCAGGGAUAUCGAAAUAACGUCACAUUUGAUUUUUAGGCAAGAUUUGAGCAAACCAAUUAUCUUAUUCUUUUCUAUCACUACUUCCGCACAAGUAAAACUAUAGCAAUAUAAAGCAAAAAUAAGAAAUUUAUAAGAAUUAACAAUCAAUCUCACCAUCCUAACUCCAGAGAUAUCGAAAUAGCAUCACAUUUGAUUUUCAAGUUAGAUUUGAGCCAACCAAUUAUCUUAUUAUUUUCUAUCACUACUUCCGCACAAGUAAAACCAUAGCAAUAUAAAGCACAAAUAAGAAAUCUAUAAGGAUUAACAAUCAAUCUCACCAUUCCAACUCCAGGGAUAUCGAAAUAACAUCACAUUUGAUUUUCAUUUUAGAUUUGAGUCAACCAAUUAUCUUAUUCUUUUCUAUCACUACUUCCGCACAAGUAAAACCAUAGCAAUAUAAAGCAAAAAUAAGAAAUCUAUAAGGAUUAACAAUCAAUCUCACCAUUCCAACUCCAGGGAUAUGGAAAUAACAUCUCAUUUGAUUUUUACGUUAGAUUUGAGCCAACCAAUUAUCUUAUUCUUUUCUAUCACUGCUUCCGCAUAAGAAAACCAUAGCAAUAUAAAGCAAAAAUAAGAAAUCUAUAAGGAUUAACAAUCAAUCUAACCAUUCAAACUCCAGGGAUAUCGAAAUAACAUCACAUUGCAUCAAUAGAAGAUGAAGAACAAAGCGUGCAAGAAGAUGAAGUUCUAUAUUGUAACGUACAUUGACAUAAAAGAUCAAAUCAGACCCAUAUAGGAAGAUGAAGAAGAUGAAUUAGAAGAAGAAGAAGAACCUACCCAUAAAAUGUCUGAGGAUUGGCCCAACGCGUUCGACUCCUCUCCAAGAACUUGCGGCAAUGUCAUGCGAAUUAGGGUUUUAGAGGGAGCAAUGUCGUGCGAAUUACGUUUUCGACUCCUCAUAUUUCUUCACAUUUCUUCACAAAAGUAAAAAAAAAAAAAUCUUACAAUUUCUUAAGAAGAGCCACAGACAAUUGAAAAUCCUUCUGAAACUGAAGUACCCCUACACCUUGUCCUAUCCACCAAUUUAUCCACCAAUCACAUAUGUAAAAAACCAUUAAAGAUCUAUCAGGUAAUCAUAAAUAAAAACAAAAUGAAGUAACAAACAGAAAAAUAAAUACCUGGAUCAACCUCCACAUUUUAAUAAAGGCACAAAAUCCAGGAUCCUAUCAUCAGAAUAAAUGUCCCAACACCAACACCGACUAGGAAUACUACCCAGUCAUACUGUCCCAAGUCUUCCUUCCAAACUUCUACUGGGUCUGUAAUAGUCACUUGAAAAAAAGAUGCAACGGCAUACAACAGGAGAGAGUAAAAAUGGUUGCGUUUUACUGCAUUUGAAUCCACCGGGUCACCGUCGUUAAAGCAGGUGCGUACUAAACCAGCGGUGACGUUUGCCGAGCACACGUGUGCCAUCAACUCACCAAAAUAGAGUCCGUUGUCAGAGACCCCGAGCAAAAAAAAGGAAGUACUAUGGAAAUAUGAAUGGUUGAAACGACGGAAGUAACAAUGCACAACAGUAAGAGAUGGAUCUUGGAGUCGGAGUGUGUGGCGGGAGCAUGCUGAAACUCCAUUACAGAAACUUUAACAAAAGGGAGAAGAUUCAAUAUUCAAACAGUAAUAUCCCAAAAACCAAGAACUAGAUCCGUGCACACAACAGACCAGGUAAAAAAGUUUCGCAAACAGAUUGAAAACCAAGCAUCCCCAAUUAAGAACAGCAGACAUCAGCAAUAGCAACAGCACAAGUAAAACCAUAGCAAUAUAAAGCAAAAAUAAGAAAUCUAUAAGGAUUGUCACCAUUCCAACUUCAGGGAUAUCGAAAUAACGUCACAUUUGGUUUUUAGGUUAGAUUUGAGACAACCAAUUAUCUUAUUCUUUUCUAUCACUACUUCCGCACAAGUAAAACCAUAGCAAUAUAAAGCAAAAAUAAGAAAUCUAUAAGGAUUGUCACCAUUCCAACUUCAGGGAUAUCGAAAUAACGUCACAUUUGGUUUUUAGGUUAGAUUUGAGACAACCAAUUAUCUUAUUCUUUUCUAUCAUUACUUCCGCACAAGUAAAACCAUAGGAAUAUAAAGCACAAAUAAAAAUCUAAAAGGAUUAAAAAUCAAUCUCACCAUUCCAACUCCAGGGAUAUCGAAAUAACAUCAUAUUUGAUUUUCAGGUUAGAUUUGAGCCAACCAAUUAUCUUAUUCUUUUCUAUCACUACUUCCGCACAAGUAAAACCAUAGGAAUAUAAAGCACAAAUAAAAAUCUAAAAGGAUUAAAAAUCAAUCUCACCAUUCCAACUCCAGGGAUAUCGAAAUAACAUCAUAUUUGAUUUUCAGGUUAGAUUUGAGCCAACCAAUUAUCUUAUUCUUUUCUAUCACUACUUCCGCACAAGUAAAACCAUAGGAAUAUAAAGCACAAAUAAAAAUCUAAAAGGAUUAAAAAUCAAUCUCACCAUUCCAACUCCAGGGAUAUCGAAAUAACAUCAUAUUUGAUUUUCAGGUUAGAUUUGAGCCAACCAAUUAUCUUAUUCUUUUCUAUCACUACUUCCGCACAAGUAAAACCAUAGCAAUAUAAAGCAAAAAUAAAAAAUUUAUAAGAAUUAACAAUCAAUCUCACCAUCCCAACUCCAAAGAUAUCGAAAUAGCAUCACAUUUGAUUUUCAAGUUAGAUUUGAGCCAACCAAUUAUCUUAUUAUUUUCUAUCACUACUUCCGCACAAGUAAAACAAUAGCAAUAUAAAGCACAAAUAAGAAAUCUAUAAGCAUUAAGAAUCAAUCUCACCAUUCCAACUCCAGGGAUAUCGAAAUACCAUCACAUUUGAUUUUCAAGUAAGAUUUGAGGCAACCAAUUAUCUUAUUACUUUCUAGCACUACUUCCGCACAAGUAAAACUAUAGCAAUAUAAAGCACAAAUAAGAAAUCUAUAAGCAUUAAGAAUCAAUCUCACCAUUCCAACUCCAGGGAUAUCGAAAUAACAUCACAUUUGAUUUUAAGGUUAGAUUUGAGCCAACCAAUUAUCUUAUUCUUUUCUAUCACUACUUCCGCACAAGUAAAACCAUAGCAAUAUACAGCACAAAUAAAAAUCUAUUAGGAUUAACAAUCAAUCUCACCAUUCCAACUCCAGGGAUAUCGAAAUAACAUCACAUUUGAUUUUCAGGUUAGAUUUGAGCCAACUAUUUAUCUUAUUCUUUUCUAUCACUACUUCUGCACAAGUAAAACCAUAGCAAUAUAAAGCAAAAAUAAAAAAUUUAUAAGGAUUAAUAAUCAAUCUCACCAUUCCAACUUCAGGGAUAUCGAAAUAACAUCACAUUUGAUUUUCAGGUUAGAUUUGAGCCAACUAUUUAUCUUAUUCUUUUCUAUCACUACUUCUGCACAAGUAAAACCAUAGCAAUACAUCAGCAAUAGCAACAGCACAAGUAAAACCAUAGCAAUAUAAAGCAAAAAUAAGAAAUCUAUAAGGAUUAACAAUCAAUCUCACCAUUCCAACAUCAGGGAUAUCGAAAUAACAUCACAUUUGAUUUUCAGGUAAGAUUUGAGCCCACCAAUUAUCUUAUUCUUUUCUAUCACUAUUUCCGCACAAGUAAAAUCAUAGCAAUCUAAAGCAAAAAUAAGAAAUCUAUAAGGAUUAACAAUCAAUCUCACCAUUCCAACUCCAGGGAUAUCGAAAUAACAUCACAUUUGAUUUUCAUGUUAGAUUUGAGCCAACCAAUUAUCUUAUUAUUUUCUAUCACUACUUCCGUAUAAGUAAAACCAUAACAAUAUAAAGAAAAAAUAAGAAAUCUAUAAGGAUUAACAAUCAAUCUAACCAUUCAAACUCCAGGGAUAUCGAAAUAACAUCACAUUACAUCAAUAGAAGAUGAAUAACAAAGCGUGCAAGAAGAUAAAGUUCUAUAUUGUAACGUACAUUGACAUAAAAGAUCAAAUCAGACCCAUAUAGGAAGAUGAAGAAGACGAAUUAGAAGAAGAAGAAGAACCUACCCAUAAAAUGUCUGAGGAUUGGCCCAACGCGUUCGACUCCUCUCCAAGAACUUGCGGCAAUGUCAUGCGAAUUAGGGUUUUAGAAGGAGCAAUGUCGUGCGAAUUACGCUUUCGACUCCUCAUAUUUCUUCACAUUUCUUCACAAAAGUAAAAAAAAAAAAAUCUUACAAUUUCUUAAGAAGAGCCACAGACAACUGAAAAUCCUUCUAAAACUGAAGUACCCCUACACCUUGUCCUAUCCACCAAUUUAUCCACCAAUCACAUAUGUAAAAAACCAUUAAAGAUCUAUCAGGCAAUCAUAAAUAAAAAUAAAAUGACGUAACAAACAGAAAAAUAAAUACCUGGAUCAACCUCCACAUUUUUAUAAAGGUACAAAAUCCAGGAUCCUAUUAUCAGAAUAAAUGUCCCAACACCAACACCGAGAAGGUAUACUACCAAGUCAUACUGUCCCAAGUCUUCCUUCCAAACUUCUACCGGAUCUGUAAUAGCCACUUGAAAAAAAGAAGCAACGGCAUACAACAGGAGAGAGUAAAAAUGGUUGCGUUUUACUGCAUUUGAAUCCACCGAGUCACCGUCGUUAAAGUAGGUGCGCACUAAACCAGCGGUGACGAUUGCCGAGCACACGUGUGCCAUCAACUCACCAAAAUAGCGUCCUUUCUCAGAAACCCCCAACAAAAAAAAGAAAGUACUAUGAAAAUAUGAAUGGUUGAAACGACGGAAGUAACAAUGCACAACAGUAAGAGAUGGAUCUUGGAGUCGGAGUGUGUGGCGGGAGCAUGCUGAAACUCAAUUACAGAAGCUUUAACAAAAAGGAGAAGAUUCAAUAUUCAAACAGUAAUAUCCGAAAAAGCAAGAACUACAUCCGUGCACACAACAGACCAGGUAAAAAAGUUUCGUAAACAGAUUGAAAACCAAGUAUCCCCAAUUAAGAACAGCAAACAUCAGCAAGUAAAACCAUAGCAAUAUAAAGCAAAAAUAAGAAAUCUAUAAGGAUUGUCACCAUUCAAACUUCAGGGAUAUCGAAAUAACGUCACAUUUGAUUUUUAGGAUAGAAUUGAGCCAACCAAUUAUCUUAUUCUUUUCUAUCACUACUUCCGCACAAGUAAAACCAUAGCAAUAUAAAGCUAAAAUAAGAAAUUUAUAAGAAUUAACAAUCAAUCUCACCAUCCCAACUCCAGAGAUAUCGAAAUAGCAUCACAUUUGAUUUUCAAGUUAGAUUUGAGCCAACCAAUUAUCUUAUUCUUUUCUAUCACUACUUCCGCACAAGUAAAACCAUAGCAAUAUAAAGCACAAAUAAGAAAUCUAUAAGCAUUAACAAUCAAUCUCACCAUUCUAACAACAGGAAUAUCGAAAUACCAUCACAUUGGAUUUUCAAGUUAGAUUUGAGCCAACCAAUUAUCUUAUUACUUUCUAUCACUACUUCCGCACAAGUAAAACCAUAGCAAUAUAAAGCACAAAUAAGAAAUCUAUAAGCAUUAAGAAUCAAUCUCACCAUUCCAACUCCAGGGAUAUCGAAAUACUAUCACAUUUGAUUUUCAAGUUAAAUUUGAGCCAACCAAUUAUCUUAUUCUUUUCUAUCACUACUUCCGCAUAAGUAAAACCAUAGCAAUAUAAAGCACAAAUAAAAAUCUAAAAGGAUUAAAAUUCAAUCUCACCAUUCCAACUCCAGGGAUAUCGAAAUAACAUCACAUUUGAUUUUCAGGUUAGAUUUGAGCCAACCAAUUAUCUUAUUCUUUUCUAUCACUACAUCCGCACAAGUAAAACCAUAUCAAUAUAAAGUAAAAAUAAGAAAACUAUAAGGAUUAACAAUCAAUCUCACCAUUCCAACUCCAGGGAUAUCGAAAUAACAUCAAAUUUGAUUUUUAGGUUAGAUUUGAGCCAACCAAUUAUCUUAUUAUUUUCUAUCACUGCUUCCGCAUAAGUAAAACCAUAGCAAUAUAAAGCAAAAAUAAGAAAUCUAUAAGAAUUAACAAUCAAUCUCAUCAUUCAAACUCCAGGGAUAUCGAAAUAACAUCACAUUGCAUCAAUAGAAAAUGAAGAACAAAGCGUGCAAGAAGAUGAAGUUCUAUAUUGUAACGUACAUUGACAUAAAAGAUCAAAUUAGACCCAUAUAGGAAGAUGAAGAAGAUGAAUUAGAAGAAGAUGAAGAACCUACCCAUAAAAUGUCUGAGGAUUGGCCCAACGCGUUCGACUCCUCUCCAAGAACUUGCGGCAAUGUUUUGCGAAUUAGGGUUUUAGAGGGAGCAAUGUCGUGCGAAUUACGCUUUCGACUCCUCAUAUUUCUUCACAUUUCUUUACAAAAGUAAAAAAAAAAAAAAUCUUACAAUUUCUUAAGAAGAGCCACAGACAACUGAAAAUCCUUCUGAAACUGAAGUACCCCUACACCUUGUCCUAUCCACCAAUUUAUCCACCAAUCAUAUAUGUAAAAAACCAUUAAAGAUCUAUCAGGCAAUCAUAAAUAAAAAUAAAAUGAAGUAAUAAACAGAAAAAUAAAUACCUGGAACAACCUCCACAUUUUUAUAAAGGCACAAAAUCUAGUAUCUAUCAUCAGAUUAAAUGUCCCAACACCAACACCGACUAGGAAUACUACCCAGUCAUACUGUCCCAAGUCUUCCUUCCAAACUUUUACCGGGUCUGUAAUAGCCACUUGAAAAAAAGAUGCAACGGCAUACAACAGGAGAGAGUAAAAAUGGUUGCGUUUUACUGCAUUCGAAUCCACCGGGUCACCGUCGUUAAAGCUGGUGGGUACUAAACCAGCGGUGACGAUUGCCGAGCACACGUGUGCCAUCAACUCACCAAAAUAGCGUCCUUUCUCAUAGACCCCCAACAAAAAAAAGAAAGUACUAUGAAAAUAUGAAUGGUUGAAACGAUGGAAGUAACAAUGCACAACAGUAAGAGAUGGAUCUUGGAGUCGGAGUGUGUGGCGGGAGCAUGCUGAAACUCCAUUACAGAAGCUUUAACAAAAGGGAGAAGAUUCAAUAUUCAAACAGUAAUAUCCCAAAAACCAAGAACUAUAUCCGAGCACACAACAGACCAGGUAAAAAAGUUUCGCAAACAGAUUGAAAACCAAGCAUCGCCAAUUAAGAACAGCAAACAUCAGCAAUAGCAACAGCACAAGUAAAACCAUAGCAAUAUAAAGCAAAAAUAAGAAAUCUAUAAGGAUUGUCACCAUUCCAACUUCAGGGACAUCGAAAUAACGUCACAUUUGAUUUUUAGGCUAGAUUUGAGCCAACCAAUUAUCUUAUUCUUUUCUAUCACUACUUCCGCACAAGUAAAAUCAUAGCAAUAUAAAGCAAAAAUAAGAAAUUUAUAAGAAUUAACAAUCAAUCUCACGAUCCCAACUCCAGAGAUAUCGAAAUAGCAUCACAUUUGGUUUUCAAGUUAGAUUUGAGCCAACCAAUUAUCUUAUUAUUUUCUAUCACUACUUCCGCACAAGUAAAACCAUAGCAAUAUAAAGCAGAAAUAAGAAAUCUAUAAGGAUUAACAAUCAAUCUCACCAUUCCAACUUCAGGGAUAUAGAAAUACCAUCACAUUUGAUUUUCAAGUUAGAUUUGAGCCAACCAAUUAUCUUAUUAUUUUCUAUCACUACUUCCGCACAACCAAAACCAUAGCAAUAUAAAGCACAAAUAAGAAAUUUAUAAGUAUUAAGAAUCAAUCUCACCAUUCCAAUUCCAGAGAUAUCGAAAUAUAUCACAUUUGAUUUUCAAGUUAGAUUUGAGCCAACCAAUUAUCUUAUUCUUUUCUAUCACUACUUCCGCACAAGUAAAACCAUAGCAAUAUAAAACACAAAUAAGAAAUCUAUAAGGAUUAACAAUCAAUCUCACCAUUCCAACUCCAGGGAUAUCGAAAUAACAUCACAUUUGAUUUUCAGGUUAGAUUUGAGCCAACCAAUUAUCUUAUUCCUUUCUAUCACUGCUUCUGCACAAGUAAAAUCAUAGCAAUAUAAAGCAAAAAUAAGAAAUCUAUAAGGAUUAACAAUCAAUCUCACCAUUCCAACUCUAGGGAUAUCGAAAUAACAUCAUAUUGCAUCAAUAGAAGAUGAAGAACAAAACAUGCAAGAAGAUGAAGUUCUAUAUUGCAACGUACAUUGACAUAAAAGAUGAAAUCAGACCCAUAUAGGAAGAUGAAGAAGAUGAAUUAGAAGAAGAUGAAGAACCUACCCAUAAAAUGUCUGAGGAUUGGCCCAAUGUUUUCGACUCCUCUCCAAGAACUUGCUGCAAUGUCGUGCGAAUUAGGAUUUUAGAGGGAGCAAUAUCGUGCGAAUUACGCUUUCGACUCCUCAUAUUUCUUCACAUUUCUUCACAAAAGUAAAAAAAAAAAAAAAUCUUACAAUUUUUAAGAAGAGCCACAGACAACUGAAAAUCCUUUUGAAACUGAAGUACCCCUACACCUUGUCCUAUCCACCAAUUUAUCCACCAAUCUCAUCUGUAAAAAACUAUUAAAGAUCUAUCAGGCAAUCAUAAAUAAAAACAAAAUAAAGUAACAAACAGAAAAAUAAAUACCUGGUUCAACCUCCACAUUUUUAUAGAGGCACAAAAUCCAGGAUCCUAUCAUCAGAAUAAAAGUCCCAACACCAACACCGACUAGGAAUACUACCCAGUCAUACUGUCCCAAGUCUUCCUUCCAAACUUCUACCGAGUCUGUAAUAGCCACUUGAAAAAAAGAUGCAACGACAUACAACAGGAGAGAGUAAAAAUGGUUGCGUUUUACUGCAUUUGAAUCCACCGGGUCACCGUCGUUAAAGCAGGUGCGUACUAAACCAGCGGUGACGAUUGCCGAGCACACGUGUGUCAUCAACUUACCAAAAUAGCGUCCUUUCUCAGAGACCCCCAACAAAAAAAAAGGAAGUACUAUAGAAAUAUGAAUGGUUGAAACGACGGAAGUAACAAUGCACAACAGUAAGAGAUGGAUCUUGGAGUCGGAGUGUGUGGCGGGAGCAUGUUGAAACUCCAUUAAAGAAGCUAUAACAAAAGGGAGAAGAUUCAAUAUUCAAACAGUAAUAUCCCAAAAACCAAGAACUACAUCCGUGCACACAACAGACCAGGUAAAAAAGUUUCGCAAAUAGAUUGAAAACCAAGCAUCCCUAUUUAAGAACAGCAAACAUCAGCAAUAGCAAAGCACAAGUAAAACCAUAGCAAUAUAAAGCAAAAAUAAGAAAUCUAUAAGGAUUAACAAUCAAUCUCACCAUUUCAACAUCGGGGAUAUCGAAAUAACAUCACAUUUGAUUUUCAGGUAAGAUUUGAGCCAACCAAUUAUCUUAUUCUUUUCUAUCACUACAACAGCACAAGUAAAACCAUAGCAAUAUAAAGCAAAAAUAAGAAAUCUAUAAGGAUUAACAAUCAAUCUCACCAUUUCAACAUCGGGGAUAUCGAAAUAACAUCACAUUUGAUUUUCAGGUAAGAUUUGAGCCAACCAAUUAUCUUAUUCUUUUCUAUCACUACAUCCGCACAAGUAAAACCAUAGCAAUAUAAAGCAAAAAUAAGAAAUCUAUAAGGAUUAACAAUCAAUCUCACCAUUCCAACUCCAGGGAUAUCGAAAUAACAUCACAUUUGAUUUUCAGGUUAGAUUUGAGCCAACCAAUUAUCUUAUUAUUUUCUAUCACUACUUCCGCAUAAGUAAAGCCAUAACAAUAUAAAGCAAAAAUAAGAAAUCUAUAAGGAUUAACAAUCAAUCUAACCAUUCAAACUCCAGGGAUAUCGGAAUAACAUCACAUUGCAUCAAUAGAAGAUGAAGAACAAAGCGUGUAAGAAGAUGAAGUUCUAUAUUGUAACGUACAUUGACAUAAAAGAUCAAAUCAGACCCAUAUAGGAAGAUGAAGAAGAUGAAUUAGAAGAAGAAGAAGAACCUACCCAUAAAAUGUCUGAGGAUUGGCCCAACGCGUUCGACUCCUCUCCAAGAACUUGCGGCAAUGUCGUGCGAAUUAGGGUUUUAGAGGGAGCAAUGUCGUGCGAAUUACGUUUUCGACUCCUCAUAUUUCUUCACAUUUCUUCACAAAAGUAAAAAAAAAAAAAAAUCUUACAAUUUUUAAGAAGAGCCACAGACAACUGAAAAUCCUUUUGAAACUGAAGUACCCCUACACCUUGUCCUAUCCACCAAUUUAUCCACCAAUCUCAUCUGUAAAAAACUAUUAAAGAUCUAUCAGGCAAUCAUAAAUAAAAACAAAAUAAAGUAACAAACAGAAAAAUAAAUACCUGGUUCAACCUCCACAUUUUUAUAGAGGCACAAAAUCCAGGAUCCUAUCAUCAGAAUAAAAGUCCCAACACCAACACCGACUAGGAAUACUACCCAGUCAUACUGUCCCAAGUCUUCCUUCCAAACUUCUACCGAGUCUGUAAUAGCCACUUGAAAAAAAGAUGCAACGACAUACAACAGGAGAGAGUAAAAAUGGUUGCGUUUUACUGCAUUUGAAUCCACCGGGUCACCGUCGUUAAAGCAGGUGCGUACUAAACCAGCGGUGACGAUUGCCGAGCACACGUGUGUCAUCAACUUACCAAAAUAGCGUCCUUUCUCAGAGACCCCCAACAAAAAAAAAGGAAGUACUAUAGAAAUAUGAAUGGUUGAAACGACGGAAGUAACAAUGCACAACAGUAAGAGAUGGAUCUUGGAGUCGGAGUGUGUGGCGGGAGCAUGUUGAAACUCCAUUAAAGAAGCUAUAACAAAAGGGAGAAGAUUCAAUAUUCAAACAGUAAUAUCCCAAAAACCAAGAACUAUAUCCGAGCACACAACAGACCAGGUAAAAAAGUUUCGCAAACAGAUUGAAAACCAAGCAUCCCCAUUUAAGAACAACAAACAUCAGCAAUAGCAACAGCACAAGUAAAUCCAUAGCAAUAUAAAGUAAAAAUAAGAAAUCAAUAAUAACAAUCAAUCUCACCAUUUCAACUUCAGGGAUAUCGAAAUAACAUCACAUUUGAUUUUCAAGUUAGAUUUGAGCCAACCAAUUAUCUUAUUCUUUUCUAUCACUACUUCCGCACAAGUAAACCAUAGCAAUAUAAAGCAAAAAUAAGAAAUCUAUAAGGAUUGUCACCAUUCCAACUUCAGGGACAUCGAAAUAACGUCACAUUUGAUUUUUAGGCUAGAUUUGAGCCAACCAAUUAUCUUAUUCUUUUCUAUCACUACUUCCGCACAAGUAAACCAUAGCAAUAUAAAGCAAAAAUAAGAAAUCUAUAAGGACCUAAUCAAUCUAACCAUGUCAAUACUCCAGGAGAUAUCGAAUAACAUCACAAAUUGCAUCAGAUAGUAAAGAUGAACGAACAAAGCGUGUAGAAAUAAACGUUCUAUAUUGUAUAGUCACAUUGACAUAAAAGAUUCAAAUCAGACCCAUAUAGGAAGAUGAAGAAGAUGAAUUAGAAAAGAAGAAGAUACCCUAGCCCAUAAAAAUGUCUGAGGAUUGGCCCAUACGCGUUCGACUCCUCUCCAAGAACUUGCGGGCAAUGUCGUGCGAAUGUAGGUUUCAGAGGGAGCAAUGUCGUGGCGAGAUUAACGUUUCGCCGUCCUCAUAUUUGUCAUUCACAUUUCUUCAGAAAAGUAAAAAAAGAGAAGAAAAACUUACAUUUUUAAGAAGAGCAACAUAAACCCCAAGACAAACUGAAAAUCCUUUUGAAACUGAAGUACCCUACACCUUGUCCUAUCCACCAAUUUAUGCCACCAAUCUCAUCUGUAAAAACUAUUAAAGAUCUAUCAGGCAAUCCAUAAUUAAAAACAAAAUAAGUAACAAACUGAAAAACUAAUACCUGGUCAACGCUCCACAUUUUAUAGAGGCACAAAAUCCAGGAUCCUAUCAAUCAGAAUAAAUCCAACACCAACACCGACAGGAAUACUACCCAGUCAUACUGCCAAGUCUUCUUUCAAACUUCUACGCGAUGGUCUGUAUAGCCACUUGAAAAAAAGAUAGCCACACAAUACAACAGAGAGUAGUAAAAUGGUUGCGUUUUAUGCAUUUGAAUCACCGGUCACCGUGUUAAAGCAGGUGCGUACUUAAACCGGGUGCGCGAUUGCCGAGCAACGUGUGUCAUCAACUUACAAAUGAGCGUCCUUUCUCAGAGACCGCCAACAAAAAAAAGAAGUACUAUAAGAAAUAUGAAGUGGUUGAACGACGAGAAUGUAAAAUGCACAACAGUAAAUGAGAUGGGACUUGGAGUCGGAUGUUUGGCGGGCAUGUUGAAAAACUAUUAAAGAAGCUAGUAACAAAAGGGAGAAGAUUCAAUAUAUUCAAAACAGUAAUAUCCCCAACAAACCAAAGAACUACAUCCGUGACACAAUAGACCAGGUAAAAAAGUUCCGCAAACAGAUGAAAACCCAAGCAUCCCCAAUAAAGAACAGCACAUAGCCAAUAGCAAACAGCACAAGUAAACCAUAGCAAUAUAAAGCAAAAAUAAGAAAUCUAUGAAGAAUUAACAAUCAAUCUCACCAUUUCAAACAUCGGGAUAUCGAAAUAACAUCACAUUGGAUUUUCAGGUAAAGAUUUGACCAACAAUUAUCUUAUUCUUUCUAUCACUACAUCUCGACAAGUAAAACCAUAGCAUAUAUAAAGAGGCAAAAUUAAGAAAUCUAAUAAGGAUUAAAAUCAAUCUCACCAUUCCAACUCGCAGGAUAUAAAAAUCACAUUUGAUUUUCAGGUUAGAUUGUGAGCCAACACAUUUACAGUUUAAUAUUUUCUAUCACUACUUCCGCCUUAAGUAAAGCCAUAACAAUAUAAAGCAAAAAUAAGAGAAUACUAUAAGGAUUAUACAAUCAAUCUAAACCAUUCAAACUCGAGGGCUAUAUUCGGAAUAGACAUCACAUGGGCAUCAAUAGAAGAUGAAGACAAAGCGUGUAAGAAGAUGAGUUCUAUAUUGUAACGUACUUGACAUAAAGAUCAAUCAGACCCAUAUAGGAAUGAUGACAGAAGAUGAUUUAGAAGAAGAAGAAGAACGCUACGCCAUAAAGUCUGAGGAUUGGCCCAACGCGUUCGACUCCUUCCAGAAACUUGCGCAAUGUCGUGCGAUGGGUUUGAGAGGAGCAUAAUGUCGUUGCGAAUUACGUUUUCGACUCCUGAUUUUCUUCACCAUUUCUUCACAAAAAGUAAAAAAAAAAAAAAUUUUCAAUUUCUGUAAAAGAGCCUACAGACAACUGAAAAUCCUUACUAGAACUCUGAAAUACCUCUACACCUUGACCUAUCACCAAUUUUGAUCCACCAAUCACAUAUGUAAAAAACCAAUUAAAGAAUCGUAUCAUGGCACUCAUAAUAAAAACAAAAUAAAGUUAACAAACUGAAAAAUAAAUACCUGGACAACCUCCACGAUUUUUAUAAAAGCACACAUUCAGGAUCCCUAUCAUCAGAAUAAAUGUCGAACACCAACACUCUCCGGUGUACUAGGAAUACUACCAGUCGCAUAUGUCCCAAGUUCUCCUUCCAAAUUUCUACCGGGUCUGUAAUAGCCACCUUGAAAAAAAAAUGCAACCGGUAAGCAUAUAACACGAGAGAGUAAAAAUUGUUGGUUUAACUCGCAUUGAAUCACCGGUCACCGUCAUUAAAGGAGGGUGUUUUAAACGCUAGCGGUGACGAUUUGGAGCAUUACUGUCCGCCAUCAACCACUCAAAAUGCGUCCUUUUCUCCAAAUACCCCAACAAGAACAAAGAAAGUACUAUGGAAAAUGAAUGGUUGAAGCGACGGCAAGUUAACAUUGCAAACAGUAAGAAGAAUGGAUCUUGGAGUCGGAGUGGUGGGCGGAGCAUGCUAAAAGCUCCAUUAGCAGAAGUUUUUAACAAAAGUAGAAAUUCAAUAUUCAAAAGUAAUAUCCAAAAACAAAAUACCUUCGUGCACAACAAUAGACCAGGUUAAAAAGUUCCGCAAACAAUUGAAAACCAAGCAUUCCCCAAUUAAGAACGCAAACACAGCGAAUAGCAACAGGCACAAGAAUACCAUACAGUGAUAUAAAGCAAAAAAAAUAAAGAAAUUAUAAGGAGUUAACAAUCAAUCUCACCUAUCAACUUAGGGAUGAUCGAAAUAUACGUCAUAUUUGCAUUUUUCAGUAGAUUUGAGUCCAACCAAUUAUCUUAUUCUUUUUUUUCACUACUUCGACCGACUAAGUAAAAUCAUAGCAAUAUAAGAAAAAUAAGAAUCACAAGGAUCAAUCAAUACAUGCAUUCAACCAAGAAGAUAUUUUGAAGUAACAUCACAUUUGAUUUUCAAGUUAGAUUUGAGCCAACCAAUUAUCUUAUUCUUUUCUUUCACUACUUCCGCACAAGUAAAACCAUAGCAAUAUAAAGCACAAAUAAGAAAUCUAUAAGCAUUAACAAUCAAUCUCACCAUUACAACUCCAGGGAUAUCGAAAUAACAUCACAUUUGAUUUUCAAGUUAGAUUUGAGCCAACCAAUUAUCUUAUUCUUUUCUAUCACUACUUCUGCACAAGUAAAGCUAUAGCAAUAUAAAGCAUAAAUAAGAAAUCUAUAAGUAUUAACAAUCAAUCUCACCAUUCCAACUCCAGGGAUAUCGAAAUAUCAUCACUUUUGAUUUUCAAGUUAUAUUUGAGCUAACCAAUUAUCUUAUUCUUUUCUAUCACCACUUCCGUACAAGUAAACCAUAGCAAUAUAAAGCACAAAUAAGAAAUCUAUAAGGAUUAACAAUCAAUCUCACCAUUCCAUCUCCAGAGAUAUCGAAAUAACAUCACAUUUGAUUUUCAAGUUUGAUUUGAGCCAACCAAUUAUCUUAUUUUUUUCUAUCACUACUUCCGCACAAGUAAAACCAUAGCAAUAAACCAUAGCAAUAUAAAGCAAAAAUAAGAAAUCUAUAAGGAUUAACAAUCAAUCUCACCAUUCCAACUCCAGGGAUAUCGAAAUAACAUCAAAUUUGAUUUUCAGGUUAGAUUUUGAGCGAACCAAUUAUCUUAUUCUUUUCUAUCACUACUUCCGCACAAGUAAAAUCUUAGCAAUAUAAAGCAAAAAUAAGAAAUCUAUAAGUAUUAACAAUCAAUCUCACCAUUCCAACUCCAGGGAUAUCGAAAUAAUAUCAUAUUUGAUUUUCAGAUUAGAUUUGAGCCAACCAAUUAUCUUAUUCUUUUCUAUCACUGCUUCCGCACAAGUAAAACCAUAGCAAUAUAAAGCAAAAAUAAAAAAUCUAUAAGGAUUAACAAUCAAUCUAACCAUUCAAACUCCAGGGAUAUCGGAAUAACAUCACAUUGCAUCAAUAGAAGAUGAAGAACAAAGCGUGUAAGAAGAUGAAGUUCUAUAUUGUAACGUACAUUGACAUAAAAGAUCACAUCAGACCCAUAUAGGAAGAUGAAGAAGAUGAAUUAGAAGAAGAUGAAGAACCUACCCAUAAAAUGUCUGAGGAUUGGCCCAACGCUUUCGACUCCUUUCCAAGAACUUGCGGCAAUGUCGUGCGAAUUAGGGUUUUAGAGGGAGCGAGAGGGAAGGAGAGGACGAAAAGGAGGGGAAAAAAAUGAAUCGGAAAGAAAAUACUCUCUCUCUCUCUCUAUAUAUAUGGGGUUAUUGAAAGUUAAAAUUUAAAAUGAUAGUUUUGAAAUGAAAGUUUUGAAACCAAAAUUUAAAUUUAAAAUCUGAAUUCAAAUUUAAAAUCAUAUUCAAAAUUUUGAUUUUAAAUUUUAAAUUUGAAUUCAAAAUUUAAAUUUGAAUUUAAGAUUUGAUUUCAAUUCUAAAUUUGAAUUUAAACUUAGAAUUCAAAUUCACAUUUUGAAUUUGAAAUUUCAAAUCGAAGUUUGAAAUUAAAUUAGAAUUUAGAAUUCCAAAUGUGAAUUUGAAUUAAAAAUUAAAAAUUAAAAAUUAAAUACAAAAUCGAAAUUUGAAUUCUAAUUUAAAUUUGAAUCCAAAAUCAAAAUUUAAAUUUAAAAUUUAAAUCUUAAAUUAAUUUUUUUGAAUUUAUAAAUUUAAUGGGAUAAUUACACCAUUGGUCCUCAACUUUUGCAUCAUUUUUCAAUUUGGUCCCCAAUUUUUUUUUUUUGCAAUCCGCUGGCAUAGUACCACCGUGGCGCUGACACGACGCCUUCGUGGCGCUGACAUGGCACCUCUGUGGCAAUGACAUGGUGCUGAUGUGGCGUUUUCCGCCAAUUUUAACAGCUAUAUAUCUAACGGCUGGGACUUAAUUGAAAUGAAAUCAAAAGAUUAGGGACUUGGUUGCAAAAAAAAAAGGUUGGGGACCAAAUUGAAAAAUAGUGGGCUUCCCGCCCCGAAUCCGUGACGGGUUAAAAAAUAUAUCCCAUAAUUCGCCCCCCCUCGUAACCCGCCUCCCGCCGGCGCCUCGAAUCCGCCCUGUCAACUAAUAUUUUUUAUAAAGUUAUAAUAUUAUUAAUAUUUUAUAAAUUAUAAAUUAAUAAUUUUUAAUAAUAUUAUAUAUAUAAUUUAACAAUAUCAAUUAUAAAAUCAAAAAUAUCAAUCACAAUUCAAAACAAAAUUUAUUUCAAAUACAUUAAAAAUGAGAGUACAUUAUUUGUAUUUUGAAAAUUUUUUAUACAUACAUGAUUUUUUAGGAAUAUUUUUUUAAAAUAUAAAUGAUUUUCGGUGCGGAUUCAGGACGGAUCAUGGCGGGGCGGAUUCGGGGCAGGUCAAAAUUUCUCCCGUUUCCCGCCCCGAAUUCGUCUCGGAUCGUAAAAUUUAUCUCGUUUCCCGCUUCGAAUUCGUUUAUUUUCUCCUAUUUACUGCCCCCGUCGGGGCGAGAGCUCUACCAACCCGGAUUCAUUUGCAUCCCUACACACGGGGGUACCAGUACUCCUUUUUGGUACCGGUACUCAAUAUUGAAAUCCUACACUUUGCAGAUUUCAGUGUCAGAACUCCACUCUCGCACUGUACUGAGUCCUUUUUACGUCCAUUUCGAGCCAAAACGACUCAGACUUAUCUCAACACUCACCAGACGUGCCGACAAGCGCCAGAUGCUGUAAUUACACCGACCGCUAAACACCAGGGACACUACAUCCUCCCCCACUAUAAAAAGUUUCGUCCUUGAAGCUUAAAAUCAUACCUCAACACACGGUCUCAAACAAAUAGGGGUAGGACUCCUGUAUCACAGCCUCCGGCUCCCACGUCGCCUCACGCUCCUUGUGAUUACUCCAGUAUACCUUCACAUACGGUAUGACUCGGUUGCGCAAUUGUUUCGUCUCUCGAGCAAGAAUCCGCACCGGUCGCUCCUCGUACCUCAAGUCUUCGCCAUGCUCAAGUGGAGUGAAGUCAAUCACGUGUGAGGGAUUAAACACAUAUCUUCUCAAUGCUGAGACAUGGAAUACGUCGUGGAUACCGGCAAGUCGCGGUGGAAGUGCAAUCUUGUAAGCCACUGGCCCGACUGGCUCCAAACCUCGAAAGGGCCAACAAAUCGUGGAGUAAGCUUUCCACGAAUCCCAAAUCUGGGAAUCCCUCGGGACGUCGAGACUUUCUGGAACACAUGAUCACCAACCUGAAACUCCAAAUCUCGUUUCCUGAUAUCAGCAUAGCUCCUCUGUCGACUCUGGACGAUCUUAAGAUGUUGUCGCACAACUCUGACCUUCUUUUCUGCCUCCAACAGAAUCUGUCACGCCCCGCCCCGAAACCGCUACCAAUUUGGCACGGUUCGGGUGCGCCGGACUGUAACGACCCAGCCCACUAGCAACAAUAACUCGUUGGGCCCAACCACCGGCCCAAAAUGCUUAAGCCCAGUUAUUAUUACUAGUGUCUAAGUCUCUUAUAAACCCAAUAACAACCCCAUUCCCAUCCGAUGUGGGAUUAUUGGGGUGUCACAGACUCCCCCCGUUAAGGCCCUGACGUCCUCGUCAGUCCAAUCACACAUACAGCCCAAGAUCACUAGGCAAUGUGAGACUCGUCUCUCUAGCCCGUCAUCCAGACCCUGGCUCAGCCGAGACUCGCCACACAUGUCCAGCAGGUGAACCUGCUCUGAAUACCAAAUGUAACGACCCAGCCCACUAGCAACAAUAACUCGUUGGGCCCAACCACCGGCCCAAAAUGCUUAAGCCUAGUUAUUAUUACUAGUGUCUAAGUCUCUUAUAAACCCAAUGACAACCCCAUUUCCAUCCGAUGUGGGAUUAUUGGGGUGUCACACGGACGGACGCCGAGCGGACAGGGGAGGUCCUGUCCGCCCAAGGCUUAAAACCUGAUCAUGUACAAGAAUUUAUCCAGGAAAAACUAAAUUCAUACGUACACAAUCAACAGGGCACAAAUAUUGCCAACGACAAAGAAGAGCAAGUAAUCCACAAGAUACACAAGUGAAAUAAAGAGAGAACUUACUAGCGAUUACAAUAAUUUGCAAUCCUUUUUACAUUUACAUCACUUUCUCAAAAUGAAUACAAUUUCAUCAAUACAUAGCUCUCCGAACCUCACCUACAAGAGUCUCUCUCAAAUACAUAGGUGCUAAUGCAAAAAGGAAAGCUACUAUGCUACCACGUACUCACUGAUCGGGCGCGAUGCCCUUGCCGUGGUCUUCGCCCGGCAAACCUGUACCUACCACUGAAAAUAGAGUUGGGUGAGAACUAUCUUCCAUAGUUCCCAGUGGACUCGGCCCCGACUCCACCGAUCUCCCCACUAGGUCCAAGUGGGCACAAAUAACAACGAGAUUAAUAGAUAUAUCAAAGCUGUAAAUGCAUAAAGAAAAACUAUGCUACCAUGCCCAUAAUCAUGUAUAUGAAUGCAUGCAUCAUUUAGUAAAGAUACUAUCAUGCUAUCAAAUCGAUCCAUGUUCGAUAAGUAAUGCUCAAUACGAAUGUUAACUUACAUUAACUUUUAUUUACCCAAUCUGUGGCAAAACCCUUGGGUUUGCCUAUGCCUCACAUAUCCAUCCCGUAGGGUAGGGCGCUCCACGUGCCCCCAAACCCGGAACUGUCUGCGGACAUCAACUCUGUCCUACUCGCCCGACACUCCGGAGUACUCGACGACAAUUCCUCUCCGUGUGAGGAUGUGAAUGGCUUUACCAUUCCAAUAACAGACCGUGAGCUUGAUCUAUCCUCUCCACGUGAGGAUACCCUACGAACUAGGGCCAACAUUUAUUUCGGAACUCCCUAUUCCGAUAUUCAUGCAUAGCUACUUAGCUUUACUAAGUUCUUUGUCCACAGGGCAUUUAUUAAGGGAUCUACCUAUCCCUAAGUCCAUAAUACCUCUAGUGUUAAGUACACUACAUUAAUACCAUUCGAUAUGUUCUUUAAACAUUUAGAUGCCCCUUUCUAUGUCACUAAACAACCCUUGAGUCCAUCUCUUAUCUUUAGCACUAUAGAAUCCAUGUUUCAACCCAACCCUUACCUAUCUAUUUUAUCAAGCAAUCCAUGUACACUAGGUUUUCAUUUAGAAAGCAUAAGGAAAGGUAUUACAUACAAUUCUAUAAUGCAACAUGCAAAGGAUGGAAUUAUGUUAUUCUAAGACAUAGAAAGAAGUUCAGUUGCUUCGGGAUGACACCCCCCACCUUUUAACGUCGAUUGACGGUGUAGAGGCUCCAAGAAUGCUCCUCGGCACUUCGAACGACUAGCUUUCCGCCCCUUUGGGGGAAACGAAGACCGUACGGCUUUAUUUUGCGAAUAGCUUCUCAAUGGCUCGACGAAUGCUAAAAGCGACUUCGGCCGCGCGUUUCGUUACCUAUCAAUUAGGUUUCCAAGAUCUCAAAUUAGAUCAAACCCCACUUUUAUCAAAAACCCUAAUUUGGGCUCUAGCGUUAGCACCAAGCUAAACCCAUCUCAAAAACUUUAGAUUCUAGCUCCAUGCCACCAUUCAUGGUGCUAGGGAUCCAUUUGACCCCACUUCCCAAACUAAAAACCCAAAAACCCUAAGUUCACAAGUUAGGGUUUAGUAGCUUACCUCUUGAGCUACUCCAAAGGGAAGAGGAGAGGGAGAGGGAGAUGUCCAAAAGCUUCUCUUUGGUCUCCUUCUUCUUCUUCUCCUUUCUCUCCUUCUUCUUCUUCCUCUUCUUCUUCUCUUCUUUCUUCUUCUUUUUCUUUUAGAGAGAAAAAGAGAAAUAAGUAAGAGAGAGGGAGUGAGGAGUGCAAGUGAGAGAGGGGAGAGGGCUCAGCCCCUCUAUACACUACACCCCUUCUAAUGUAACAAUUGCACUAAAACCCCUCACUUUUCCAUCUUGUGCAUAGCCCUCACUGGGCAAUUCGCGGGCGGAGGGACUGGUCUCCCCGACCUCGGACCGGCCCCCAAGAGCCUUCCCCCAGUGCACGCGUUUGGAAACCGGUCUCCCCAGCCGAGGGACCGGUUGCCUCGCGCGUUUGCCGCAACCAUCAGCCUCGGGGACCGGUCUUCUCCCGCCAAGGACCGGUCCCCGAGAGCAACCUCGUGCAGACGACGUUCGGGAACCGGUCUCUUCCUGUCAGUGACCGGUCCCCGAGAGUAAAAUCUGCCAAGUACAGAUUUUGCACUAUUUGCUCUCGUGGACUCCAUUCCAAUACACUUUUUGGGUUCUGUGCCAUUCCGGCUUUUCUAAAGCUAACCCAUUCGAUAAGUAGUCAAUCCUGGACGGAGUGCAACUCUCGAAUUUCGAGAAUUCACUUCCUUACAGAAUCUCAGGGCCCAAAGUCUUUCUCUCACCCAUAUCACUCCAAUGCAAAGGUGAUCGACACAUGCGUCCAUACAACGCUUCAAACGGAGCCAUUCGAAUACUCGCUUGAUAGCUGUUGUUGUACGCAAACUCAACCAAUCUCAAGUAUCGAUGCCACCCACCUCUAAAAUCCAAGACACAAGCUCUCAACAUGUCCUCUAGAGUUUGAAUGGUCCUCUCUGACUGACCAUCUGUCUGUGGAUGAAAUGCCAUACUAAAAUGGAGCUGCGUACCGAAAGCCGUCUGUAGGCUCCUCCAGAAAUGCAAGACGAACCUUGGGUCUCUAUCUGAUUCAAUCGAGGUAGGUACUCCAUGUAACCUCACUACCUUAUCCAAGUAUAGCUGGGUGAGUCGCUCCCUGGCCCACGUGGUUUGCACUAGCAGAAAGUGAGCAAACUUAGUCAGUCUGUCCAGUAUCACCCAUAUAGCAACAAAUCCACUCUGUGCUCUCGGUAAACCCACGAAAAAUCCAUCGUGAUUUGCUCCUGUUUCCACUCAGGCAUUGGGAGAUUCUGAAGCUUGCCAGUAGGUACAUGAUACUCUACAUUCACUUGUUGGCAAGUCAGACACUGAGCCACGCAUCUGCCAAUGUCCUUCUUUAUUUCAUUCCACCAGAAGUGUGCCUUUAAAUCCUUAUACAUCUUUGUUCUACCAGGAUAUACCAUAUAAGGUGAGUAAUAAGCUUCUUUCAAAAUCUUAUCUCAGAUCUCUGAAUCCAUAAGCACACACAGUCGGCCCCUGUACCGCAGUACUCCUGAACUGUCCACAGUAAAGGCCUCCGCCUAUCCCCUCUCAAUCUACUCCCGGAUCCUCAAUAAAUAGGCGUCUCCACUUUGUUUCUUUCUAAUCAUGUCCAAUAGAGUGGGCUGAAGACUAUAGAUAUCAGUCUCGUAGUAGUCCCAGGGGACACUAUCUCGAGCCUCAACCGCUGCAACUCCUCAAGUAAUGGUCUCUACUAAGUGAUCAAUAUGCUCAAACUCUGCACCGACUUCCUGCUCAACGCAUCUUCCACCACAUUCGCCUUACCGGGAUGAUACUGAAUGCUGAUAUCAUAAUCCUUCAAUAACUCCAACCACCGGCGUUGCCUUAGGUUCAACUCCUUCUGAGUGAAUAGAUACUUGAUACUUUUAUGAUCUGUAAAGAUCUCAUAGUGCUCACCAUACAGAUAAUGCUGCCAUAACUUCAAAGCAAAGACCACAGCGGCAAGCUCUAAGUCAUGCGCCCAAAAAAAAAAAAGAAAAUCUUGUAUGAGCUUAUUCCUAAAUCUGAUAGUCUUGAGAUUUGAACAAAAAUUAAAAUACAACUUUAUGAUUUGGGCAUGAAAUGUGUAAGACUAGCUAGCCAAAUAAUCUUUGCUAAGAUCUGCUUGAGAUGCUUUUAACGAAAUUGUACUGUUAAUCUAUUACAUAUGCAAAAUAGUUGUUUCUUUUUUUUUUUUUUCUGUAAUCUUAAGGCUAUUGAAGAAUUAAUAUUUUUUAAUAUUUUAUAUUCAACACUAUUCUUACACUCACGAAUAUAUUUGAUAGUCUAUAAAGUUUUGACGAGACUGCAUAAUUCAAUAGACUCAAACAGUCAAUGACUUUUUAUACUAGUAUUAUGUUAAACAUUAUAAUAAUCUGUUUUUUUCUAAAGUUCCAAGUAAAAACUAUUUUUUAGAAUAUUUUAAUUCUCUUCGUGAGCGUAGCAUGAUUUCACUUUACCAACAGAAAUUGUUGAGAAGUUUUACUUUACUAUUAUGUAUUUUGAAAAUAAAAUAAAAUCCAAAGAUAGUUAAGUGCAUCUUAUGAGAACUACGAGCAGGUCAAAGUAAAAAUAUGCAUGCUGUAAGAUCCUGUUUGGUUUCAAGGAUAAGCGGGGGUAAGAAAGUUAUCGCGCAAACGGAAUCAUUUUUUUCCAAGGAUAUUUUAUCCGGUCAAAGUUUGCUAUUUCCANNNNNNNNNNNNNNNNNNNNNNNNNNNNNNNNNNNNNNNNNNNNNNNNNNNNNNNNNNNNNNNNNNNNNNNNNNNNNNNNNNNNNNNNNNNNNNNNNNNNUCCAAGGAAACUCCUCACCUCGACCAGUAGCUGCUCACUAGUAGUAACGCUUGUUGAGAAGCAGACGAGACUUCGGUCAUAGGCCAAUUCGCUCGAAUCGCCUCAAUCUUACUUCGGGUCACGCUAGCUCAGCUGAAAUCACCGUCGGCCCAAGAAAGCAACAUCCGUAGCCAGAACUCGCACUUCGUUUAUUGGCAUACAAUUCUUCUCGCGCAAAGCAUGUAGCACAUCCUCAAGUGUUCCUAUGCUCAGGCAUCACUCAGGAGUAAAGUAAAUCAGGAUAUCGUCGAUGAGAAAUACCAAAACCUGUCCAGAACGGCUUGAACACUCUAUUAUCAAAUCUGGAAGGGGCAGGAGGCAUUAGUCAAUCCAAAAGGCAUCACCGUGAAGCUUCAUAAAGUGCCACGUACACGGAGUCGAAAGCCGUCUUUUGGCGAACGAUCCUCGGCCGUCACCCUCAACUAGGUGGUAACGCUGACUGGAGAUCAAUCUUCGAAAAGACCAUGAUCCGUGCAGAUGAUCGAAUAGAAUUCAUCAAUGCGCGGCAGAGGAUUUACUUUUCUUGAUAGGUCCUUUAUUUCAGCUCUGUUAAUCUACCAUACCUGGCGAACCAUCUUCUUCUUUAAAAUACACCGCGCUCCCCAAGCGACAUCACUGGGUCUUACAACCCCUCUAUCCAUCAAUCCUGAAGUUGCGCCAUUUGUCUCUCAGCUCUGCGGUGCUGCGUGCCAUCCAUGUAGGUACUUUUGAGAAUUGGUGCAGUUCCAGGCAAACUACAUCAAUCACAAACUCAAUCUCCCUCUCCGCCAAUCGCAAUGUUCGUCAACUGGGGGAAAUACAUCCGGAAAACGCUGGAUACUGGGAUGUCUGCGAGUCUCGGCCGCCGCCGUACGGCCUCCACCACUGUCGCUAGCGAAAGCCGAUACACCACUGCUCAGGCAUCUGUCGAGCCCUCGCCAGGAAGUUCCAGGAUGGCAAACAAGCGCGACAUCCUGCAGCCUCUGAAGUAAACUCCUCCUAGCCUGGCUCGGCGCGUAACGUCACCGUUCCUCGACUCCACAGUCGAUCGUAGCAUCAGUACCGCGCCAGCCAAUCCAUACCGAGCACUACGUCGAAUCCUGCAGGUGGCCCAUAACUCCAACAGCUUCUGCGGGCAUGACCCAGAGUCUACUGACCGACAGACCAAACAACACUCCGUAACCUGCAAGACAUGGUCCGGGGAUCUGCACCUUCUCAUGCCUGAAGACAACGCCCUAACUCUAGACCCAUGCAACAAUUGCAGAAUCUCGGUAACAAGGAAUGGAUGCACGGUUAUCAAAAACGAGUGCGAACCUCUAAUCCAAAAAUCAACAGGAUACCUCGCCACCACUUCGGUCGGCUGCUGAAGAGUCCUCCACCUGAGCUGCAUAGACCCGGCACUCGGAGCCUGCUGUCGCCGCCAUCUCGCCCGCGGCAACUGAACGAUUAUCUCCUGGCAGGUAGCUCGUGCUGCCUCCGUAAGACUGUGUGGUGCUGGUGGUGCCGAAGCUGAUGACGGUGCUGGAGAUGCUGCCGGACAGCGCCCUCAUGAUGUCACGAGCUGACCAACAUCUAUAGAUCUACCCUCUCUCUGCUCGCACUGCGAGGCCAGUCGCGUCCACCGCAGAUCACACACUGUGCGUCCUCUGAGUCUGCCCCUGCUGACGGGAUCCCCUGGAACGCUGACGCUCCGGACAGGACCCACGACCCUGGAGAACGUGAUCGUGAGAGCCCGGUCUCGGCGGACGUCUGCUGCUACGAUGCCCUCGUCAUUAGGGAAAGGGGCCUUCUGUCCUGACCCGUGCCCGACGGCCUGAGUCCUCUCCCUGCCAGUGAUCACCUCGCCUCUCGGUCCCCAUAGGGCCUGCUCUAUGGACGCAAUCCAGGCGUCCUCGACCUCUGCCGGCCCGCACUACCUGAAGAGAUCCGGUCUGCCCUGCUGAACAUGUAUACUCGCGGUGCGCCUGUCUACUGAGGACAAAUGGCUACACAGUCAGGAGCUCGAGUAAACUCCGAACGUACUCCUUGCACUGGGGCGAUUCUGACUGAAGCCCUCCUCAAGUCCUCCUCGAGCUGUCUGCUUCACACUGUCGGGAAAGGACAUCCCAAACAGCAUUCCACAGAACUCGUCCACUCAGCUGCGCCGGCCAUCUAGCCCCUUGCGUCUCGCCAUCGUCCUCGCACCAGUCAUCGAGCAUCACCUCUGACAUGUAUCCCAGGUCAAGACUGCUCCCCUCUGGAUACGAACAGGUCUCAAAUAAAACUUACCGUCCAGUUCGCACGUUGACCCAUCCCUCAACAUCAGGCCUCAGUGCCGUCUGCCAUCGAAGAUCGGUGGAUCAAAAUCGGCGAAAACGACGCUAACCUUCUCCGUCCACCGCCUCAGCUUCGGCUCAAGUCAACGAGUUACUGCGCCCCCUAGCAAGGCCACAACUGGCGCUACAAUGGAACUGCUGCUGAUGGAGAACUGGUCGCAGCUGGUGCAUGUCACUGGAUAGUCGAGGUGAACUUGAGGACUCUGGUGCCUCGCGGCUACAGAACCGGUGCGUCUGCCAGCUUCCUCUCACAACAACAAUCUGCAAUAGCCUCCCCCUGCUGUCUCGUCACUUCGCGUCAGCGUCGGAGCUAACUGUGCACUCAAAUCACGGGGUACGCUUAGUCUCUGGUCGCGCACUCGCGCUCCCAAUCGGGUACACUCACGACCACCAGUCUGUCACCCUGUCCCGUCGAGUACUCUGCUCCAUCUGCUCAGAUUCUCUCAGAAGGUCCAGCAUGAUCCGGCGCCCAACUGGGCGCGCUCCCGCAAACGACGGCUUCGACCCUCGGCAGAGAUACAUAGCUUAAAGGAACAAUUCCGGCCGGUCAGAUAACAACAAAACACUCUCGACCCAAUCAAACGAAAGUCCCAGAAGGGGUCCCUGUUUCCCUCCAAAAUUGUAUGUCGCUCUGCCAGCCACAUUAAUUUUCUCAGGCCGACACAGAAACUCCUUCAGUCACUCACUCUGUUUUUACUCUAAGAGAGAGUUUAGAAACAAUAAUCAAUAUGACUUCGCAGAUAAAAUCGUACGGCUCUCACGUCUUGCUUCCCUAAGGUUUGCCACAAACUAGUUUCUAGGUCCCAGACCUUACAGCCAAAGCUCUGAUACCCACUUAAAUUGUACGCCCCGCGAUUACACUUUCUCCUGGCACGCCGACAAAUCCGCCCUGUAUACAAAGGAAUUUCCCCUGUAUAGAAGCGUACCUGUACCUCGUACAUCAACACUUACUACGACAGUAGUAGAGGCUCUAAGGAAUAAAGAAAGGCUAAACAACUGAGUUUCAUAUACAUAGUCCAAUCCAAAUACAAAGCUACUCCACUGGCGAGUAAUGAUCACUAUGUACAUAACACUCGAAACAAAACAUGUAUGCAGUUAGGAGCACUCUCAAGCUCAGGCACGCGGUAGUAGGCGCUCGUAACUCGCGUGCCCUUACCUCGAUCCUUGACGCGGAAGGACGAGCAGCCCGAAACUGGUGGCUCUUGCAAACUGGGGAGCAGAAUGGUUAACAACUGGGUGAGGAACUACUAUAAAAACAAGUAGUCAUCAGUGAGGUACCGCCAAAAACAACACUCGCUCCACCCACUAAGUUACAGGACGGUAGCAAGAAAGUAGGAAAAGCAGAAACAACAUCAACCGCUAACAAAAUCACUAAUACUAUUCCAUGCCAUUACAUAACCAAUGUAGGAAAUGUCAUAAAAUCUGACCAAUCCAAUCGGGACUGUAGACAUCUACGGAUCCCUCAGGGACUUCGUGAACACACCGUCCCUGGCCCGUUGCGACUAUCGGGCAUUCUAUCACACUAAAAACUGGUCUGUGGAGAGCAAGUCCAUGGCCAUGAGCGACACAACGCAAACAGCACAAGCCUGACUCCGGAGUGCACAUCUCGUUGGGCGCUACCCAACCGAGUAUGCAGGUAUCUUUGUCUCUGUCGAGCAAUUCCAGCUCCAACUAGCCAAUUCAAUUAAACGACUUAAUACUGGUUAAAACAACAGGUAACUGUCGCCUCGGCUCUCCUGACGCAACAUAAGCGAGAUCCGCGUCCACCGUAACUCUGACGGCACCAACUCGUCCCGUAACGGCCUGAACGGACCUUGCCAAAAAAAAAAUUCACUCGGCGAACCAGCUACGAUGUGUAAAUACUUCUAAACUAGCCCAGGUAUCCAUUGCACGUGACUCGGCAACGAUACAUCGAUACACGGCUCUUAGAGCCCUAAAUCUGGAUAGUUUUAAGCAUAUGGACGGCGUCAAAACGCAGGUUUUCUCCUAAGUUCAAAUUUAUCAAGUCCAAACAUGUAUAACUCUUAAAUAUUUUCAUUUCAGGCCAUACUUUCUUAAUUCACUAGUACAUUCAAAAUGCUAAUCGAUGAAUUAAAGCCAUAUUUACAACACUCAAACUAUAACCGUUGGACUAACAUGCCUUAGCGAGCGAACCGAAAACACCCACUCUAAUUGCAAAUCCUCGGCAGCAAUUGUAGGCUCUCGAUCCUCAGAGCAACACUGCUGGAAACCCUCUUCAAACCAGGCAAUCAACAGCCCUUAAGAUCUGGAUUUACAUUGCCACCCAAAAUUCAGAUAAAAAUCAUAAAAUCCACAAUCAGUCCAAGUAACCAGCAGCAGAGAAGAGAAAGGUUAUCGACAAGUAACCUUCACCAACAAUCCACAGCUAAGGACUUCGUGGAUUGCUUCUCGCAAGCUCCGAUAACAACGAAAUCAGAGUCUCGACGAAAAUGCAUGCUCUACGUCGCAGCGAGCUGAAAUACAACAGUCGACGAUUAAAGUCCGCCAAAACAGCAUUUAAGCUUAAAAAUCCCAAUCUCCAUCUGUCAAAACUCACCUAAUGAACCCGACCCCCCCCCCUCCCAAUCAGGCGUGUAAGAGGCAUGAUCAGUGCUGGGUGAUGGUGAACGUGACUCAAACUCCACCAAAGCACCCUGCUUCAAAGUGUUCACCCAAAUACAAGGAACUCAAAAACUUACAAUUCUGACCCACAGCAACAACAGCAGAGGAACAACUUUGUAGUUCGACUGAGCUAACCCUUGCACUAAAUUCUCCUCGUGAAUCAUGGCUUUUCGUGGAUUCCUCUGGGAAGUCAUAGACAUCCAGCAAACCAAGUUUGUCGAUAUCGAUCUUCCUCGUCGCCACGACGAGUCAAACACUUGGGAGUGUCGAGUGAAGAACUGCAGAAUCAGCCACAACCAUCAAGUGGAUCCAAUGGAAUUGCAUGCAAUUUGAAGCAAUCGAGGUUUUGAGAGGCUAAGUAGGCGGUUUCUCUGGAAGGAAGGAAGAAAGUGAGCAGCCAAAUGGGACGCUUACAAGUAAUUUAUAGUGGUUAGAACGAUCCAAAAAGUCAAACUAAGCUGCUAUCAGUGCCCCUGACCAGAAACGGGCAUUUUUCCGCGCUGGGCGCCCAGGAACCAUUUCUGGGCGACCAGAACAUCCCGACUGCACAAAACGGGCCACUUCGGUCUCUCGCCGCGGUGUUGCUGCGCCCGUAAACGCUUCCGGCGGAGUCACCUACCACCCUAUGCCACGCGUCGAAGCAAGCGAUAUUCACGAUGGUGCGAAUUUCCGGACCCACUUCUGGGACGCCCGGAACAUAGGAUCCGAAUUGGCUUCCAGUUUCAAUUAAAAUCAACACUCGUUUCUGGGCGACCUAACAAUUGUUCUGGGCGGCGGCAGAGUCGCCGCAAUCUGUGAAAACUUCAGUUUUGCUUUUUGAGGUGCGCCGGAGUCCAAUUCCUGAUCAAUUCGAUGGCAGAACUGACUACCGGACUCAGCUCGACACUCUCUCAGAGAUGAUCGACACUCUAUAAUACUGAAGCCAAUCUCUAUCCAAAGCUCAGCAACACUACAAAAGGUCAAACUAGUAUAUUUUCUAUAGAAGGACUACUAAUCAUUUGAUUUAUGGUCCUAAUUACUUACCUGAACGGACUUAUUUGCAUUCUCCCAGAGGUGCUAAGUGCAACGUCUCUUUGUGUUGCAGCCCAGGAAUUCAAGUAGAUUGAAAAGCGGGCCCUAAACUUUCUUCCAGUCGCUCCCGUCUACCAGCCGGAAAAAGCGCGCUCCUUCCGUUAGUUGAUCGCUCAGAAAAUUCAUUGUAUACUGUCGUAUGCAUCAUCGAUGAAUAAAUUACGUCUAUAUCAAAUGUAGUAGAUAACUGCUCACUAUAUAUUCUAAGCGUCGUUCCUGCUAUAUCGAAUUAAUUUUUGAUAAUAUGAUAUCAGAGUAAAUUUUACUAUAUCCCUUUCAUUUGCAAAAUCGUGGGUUCAACUACCACCUGUUCAACAUUUAGCGGUUAAGUUUUAUCUCUAUCUCAAUCUACCAAUUUAUACGUACCCUUUCAAUCUUAUUAAGACAUUCAGUCGGAUAGUUAAAUAUACCUUAACUUGCUUAAGAAAAAUAAUGACAACUUAAACGUACAGAACUUAUACUGAACCAAUGUUAUUAUUUGAAUCGGUGAUCCAGCUGUUCAAAAUUUGAUUUUAUUAUCCAAUCUUACAAUUUGUUUGAUUUGAGUCAGGUCAACGUCCUUUGACUCAAAAUUUGCAAUACUGUGGUUAUUUUUACAAAUUUAACCUGUGUAUUUUUUUAUGCAAUUUUCUCAACUCUUUAUUCAUUUAAAAUAAGUUUGUUAGUUUUGAAGUCAAAUCAAACGAAUUUGAACAGGUUGGAUAGCAAAAUCAAAUUAUCAAAAAGAAUUGAAUAACCGAGCUCAAAAUAGGUAUAAUUCAGCGCUAUUUUGUCAUGUUUGUUUUUUACCGAAAACAGAAAGCGCCAGACUCACGCCAAAGAGGUCGAUACCGACAUGACCGAGGUGCAUCUUCCAUGAUAAGGGCCCGCCGAGCCGCGGAAUACGUUGCCUGCGUGAUGAAGAAGCCCACGUGGCUGCACUCCAGAGCAAGCCCCAGAUCAUCCAUGCACCUACUUCUUGUUAGCAACGUACUGGUACUUAUAUCAUCCACCUGAUCAUAAGCCUCAGUAUCAAUAGAGUUUAUUUACUUACGCAGAAUUAAAGUUUUGAUUUUGCUGAUCAUCGAGUUGGAUUUUACCUCGCCCUUGAACUCGGGCUCGAGCGGGUUCACGAUUCGAACCGCUUCCUUGUACGCCAAUGUCACCGCUCGUGGGAACUGCCGAUCCUCAGCUCUCGGCAUUUUUCUUCUUCUGUCGUCUGCUACCGCCAUGUAUCGGAACCUGACAAGUCGAUAAAUCACCAAAUUCAAUUAGGUUCAUUAUAAUACAACAAGGUGCUGGCUUAAAGGGCCAACAUCCUAUCCUAUGGCAGGAGGUCAGAUUGGGCUGAGUCAUGCUCGAAGUGGCGUGUAGCUGAAUGAGUCGAGUCACAAUUGAAAUCUGUGGGCACUAUAUCUAUAACUUUAAGUGAAUUAGUUAUAUAUUUCUAACAGUUCGAGCUUUCAGGAUUAAUGGUUAGCGCCAACGAUCUGGCACAAUGCAGCUAAGAGAACAAGGAAGAAGAAGAAAAAGAAAAGUUCUUACUUGUCUUCGCGAAGCUUGAAGGCGAUUCGAGUCUCCGAAAGGUCUAAACCGGGCCAGCCUCUCUUAUGCUCGAAGAUCGCAUAGCUAUAAAACCCUGAACUACCGCGAAGCACUACAUACCUGAUCAAAUCUUCGAGUUAUUGUAUACAAUGAUUUUAAAUCAUUCUUUUUUAUAUUAGGAUUUCAAUAGCGUACCUUAUAUCGACGUUCAAUCGGACACCGUUAUGAAGCGACGGAUUCCAUGUUCUGCUGAAAGAAACCUCCACCUGAUGCUCCUUCUGCACUAUGACCUCAUAUUCUGUACCCUCAAAUCUGCAUAACAUGUCUCCGCCUCUUUCUCAGAAUAAGCAGUUUUUGCUUGUACUAACACUCAACAUUAUAGUGCAGUUUCAAUUAGAUCCCCCUCAAUUCAAUUGUUACAGGUUUCUCUAUUUCGUCGCAAUCUUACCCUCUUGUUAAAUUCGUGCAAUAAAUUGGGCUAAUUUUUAAAAUUCUAGCUAAUACAGAUAUUUGUACUCAGAAACUUAAUGAAAAAAAGGUAAGAUCGCGAGGAAAUGCAUUUAAGAAAGAAAUUUACAAACUCACAUCGCGAAAAUUCCUCUUCGUCCAGAACCAGGAAAGUUCCAUACAAGAUCCCAAUACCUAAAAGCGAUGCAAAAGAUUGAAUUAUUAGUUUGACGCAAACCAUAUCCUACAAAGUUCAACAGUUCUUUUUUUACUGUAGCAGUAGGUGUUUAUGAAACUACGUACCCGCCUAAAUUGCUUUUGUUAGAUGAAUACUGCAACAAGUUAUCAAUACCAUUGUACCGAAUUCCCGUAAUGCGACCCUGAGGCUUCGAUAUGGUUAGUUCGAUGAUGCCGUUGCUGAUAAUCACACCUAAAAACACGGUUAUUUGCGUACGUAAAAGCGCAGUAUCAGUCACCAAAUGAAAAUACGAGAGGAAUUAAUUACUACACGUAGUUUAUUAGCAAGCGACAAAGAGCAUUGUUUUAUCACCUGGUUAUACUCUACAUGUAGUAGAACACCUCGAGUCGACGCCGCCGAGGGAACUGCUAAAGCUAAAAGCCAUGAACAGGAGAGAACUACACAUACAAAAAAGUGAGAACCCAUGUAUAAUAAGUUGAUCAAUGUUGCACAAGUGUUUUUUUUUUCUUUCUUUCUUUCUUUUCUUUCUAAGGUAAUUUAUGUGCAAGGAGUACGUUUUAAUCGUUCAUAAAAAGAAGAUUUGCUAUAUGGGCCUGCAUGCCCAGUGGUGCCCUCCCACCACCAGGAGAGAUCGUCGACUAUUCAUGGUUUGUGAGUCUCACCCACGUCUUUUUGGGUCCAUGCAUGAUCUCCUUUGACAGGUUGCUUCCCCUCCUAUAAACUUUGUUUAUGUAUACACAAUAUAUAGGGAGUGCAUUAAAUUAUUAUCUUAACGCAAAUGUAAGUUGAUAUAUAUAUAUACUUAGGCUUGCUAUAUGUGUUUUUUUUUUUGAGAGAGAUAGAUAGCAUGCUACCCGCUUCGUUUAUUUCAUUUAAAAAUAAACUUAGCUGGAAAUGUGAAUCAACUAGGAUUCGAACUUAGAAUCUCGGGUACCAACUACCAAGCCUUUUGCCAUUUGCUCGAGAGACGGUCAGUAGGCUUGCCAUAUGUGUUAAGUAGAAUGUGAACACAUUCAAAGGUAACUCCAGCAUGUUUAAUUGUACUUCAUUAUGAUAGCCUUAUUAAUAAUUAGUGGUUGUUUCACUGAUAAAAAUUUGUUGGUUAACAAUAACUUGAUCCACUGAAUCCAUACCAUCUCUAAUUAAUUAGCAUCUAGUAAUGGUGGUAGCACCAUGUACACAACUAAUAUUAAGCUUUAUUUUUUUGAGAAAGAGGUAGCGAGCUACCUGUUUCAUUCAUUAAGUAAAAUGAACUAAGCGUACAGUGUGAAAGCAACUAGGGCCUCCGAUAAGAGUUACAAAGAGUAACAGCAAAAAUAGAGCAGGAAGGAGGUGAAGAAGAUGAAGAAAGAAAGGGAAAGUGGGGAGUAGAGUGAAAGAAAGAGAUUAACAGGAGCUGGGGCAGUCAGAGGAGCUCGGUCCAGAAUUUCGUCAGAAGUUUGGUUGAUCAAGAGCUCGGGUGGCGUUGGGGAUCAUUGAAUGGAAAAUGAUGUUAUUUCUUUCUGUCCAUACUACCCACCAAAUUGCCGCGAGAAUGGUCAAGGCUUCUGAUCUCUUCUUUGUGUCGAUGAUAGCAACUAAUUUGGUCCAAAGGUCCCGAACAUCGUUCGAAUCCCAGUAGGUAGGACCGCCCUAAUGAUCAGGAAACGUACAAAGACACACAGUUGCAGAAAAAGUGGUCGCAGGUCUCCGUGGAGAGCACGCAGAAAACACAGUGUUUAUCCACCACCAUCCCAUGGGCCAGCAAUCUAUUAGCAGUGAGUAAUCUCUUGCGGAUUAGCACCCAGAUGAAGAUUUUGAUUUUGGUCUGAAUUUUUAGUCUCCAGAUUAGCUGGUUCGUCGGGUCCCUUUGUCCUGUGUUAUCUAUGAACUUGUAAAGGGAUUUGACCUUAAACAGUCGGUUGGAUGUCCACCGCCAUUUGAGUGUGUUCGGAUUGGUGGUAGGGCUACGGUGAAGGAGUAGAUCUUUAAAAAGGUUAAUUGUCUAAGGUUCUCGAUGGACUGAGACGCCACAAACCCUCUGCAGAUGAAGCACCAUCUCCAACCGUUAGAGUUCCAACAUUGAGAUAUUCGGGCCACUUUGUUCCUUAUAUUGGCGAAAAUUUCCGAAAACGUGGUGUGAAGGGGGGUUUCGCUGAUCCAAAUAUUAGACCACAUCCUGAUACUGCUUUCGCCUCCUAGCUCAUAAGACAUUCCGCAUUUGAACACUUCUCGAUAUCAGAUCACGCUUUUCCACCACUGAGAGUAAGGUAUGAAUGCUCUGCCCUCAUGUAGCGGCCUGUGUCUGGUGUAAUAGAGAGAUCUAAUCAACUUGCACCAGUGUAGGUGUGGCUCAUUGAAAAAGUUCCACCACCAUUUAGAUAAGAGAGCUAGGUUCAUGAUUUCCAAGUCUUUGAUUCCCAACCGGCCUUCUUCUUUGCUUUUGCAUACCGUUUUCCAGUUCACAAGGCAUGCUCCCCCUGAGAUUUUGGGGCCACCUUUCCAGAAGAAGGCUUUUCUCAGGCCUUCAAUACGAUGCAGUACCCAUUGCGGCACUUUAAAGAUGAAGAGGUAGAAUAGUGGUCAAUUGGUGAGGACCGAGUUAACGAGAAUCAAUCUUCCCCCUUGAGAUAAGAGUUUGGCUUUCCACCCAUCGAUUCUUGCUUCUAUGCGAUUAAUGACCAAAGCCCAAUCUUCCUUGCGAAGGUGUUUAAUGUGUAGAGGAAGGCCCAGAUAGCGGAACGGGAGACAUCUGGCUUUACAUCCUAUAAUGUUAGCCAAUCGGGCCCUUUUUCGAGGAUUGGGUCCUAGGUAGUAUAGCUCUGAUUUGUCCUUGUUAAUCCUGAGCCCAGAGGCCCAUUCAAAGAUUUUCCAGAGGAACUGCAGGUUCCGUAUGAUGUAUUUUCUAGGCUCGCAAAAAAUUAUUGUGUUGUCGGCGUAUUGGAUGAGCACCAUCUGACAGUCUAAUGAAGGGCCAAUACCAUGUAGCAAGUUGUUACUCCUCGUAGUUUCGGUUAGUCUCGCCAAGCAGUCAGCUACGAGUAGGAAGAGGUAGGGAGAAAGAGGGUCACCCUGUCUAAGGCCCUUUCUUGCAGAUGCAUUGUUCGACCCAAAUCCACCAUUGGUCGCUAAAUCUAAGCCAUCGUAGUAUACUUUGCAGAAAAGUCCAUUUGAUGUUGUCGAAGGCUUUUUCAAAAUUGACCUUGAUACUUACGCAUUCCUUGCUAGAUUUUGAGCACCAGUUGACAAGUUCAGUUGCGGUGACGAAUGAGUCAGUUAGCAGCUAAUCUUUGUGGAAAGCCGAUUGCGAUAAGGUGAUGAUGGAUGGCAGAAUGAGCGCGAGUCUAUUUGCGAGAACUUCAGAGAUGAUUUUUUGAAUUCCAUUGAUUAGGCUGAUCGAUCGGAAGUCGUUAGCCUUACGUGCUCCUUCCUUUUUGAGGAUGAGGCAGACGUAAGCGUAGUCAACUGGGCCGGUAAAAAGUCUGUUCUCCUGUAGGUCGAUGAAUAUGUUAAAAAUAUCCUCUUUGACUAACUCCAAGAAGGUUUGGUAGAAAAUCAGUAGAAAGCCGUCCGGCCCAGGGGCCUUGUCGCUGCCUAGUUGGAAGGUUGCUGUCUUAAACUCCUCCAGUGUAAACGGAGUCGUUAGAAGAUCCCGUUGGGCAAUCUGUUGGAUUGGUAGAGACUACUCCAAUCUGCAACUGUUGUAAGUCCCUCCUCCACCUGUCCGAACAGUUGUUGAAACUUUUCGAAGAAAUAGGUUCUCUUGCGAUCCUCAUUAGUGAUAUGUCGCUCGGCGUCAUCUUCAAUGACUUCAAUCGCAUUAAGGCGUUUCCGUCCAUUGGCCACCCCGUGGAAAAAUUUAGUGUUGCUGUCGCCUUCCUUGAGCCAGCGUUGUUUAGACUUGGUUUUCCAAAGAAUUUCUUCCUCUUGAAGGAUGAUCUGAAGUUGAAAAUUUGAGAUCAGUCCGUUUCUCUACAGUUGUCCAUUUCUCUAUAGUUUCCUGUGUCAGGUUAAUCUGCUCCUCGAGUUGGUCUAUUGCUUGGAGUUCCGACUGUAAUAGGCUUUUGGUGUUGGAGAUGCUGUGAAAAUUUGUCUUACACCAUUCCUUCAUUCUAGCUUUGCAGUGCUUGAGCUUAGCAUUUAUCGUGAGUAUGGCAGAUUUCUUGGAGGUGACUUCGUUCCACCAGAUUGGCAUGUUCUUGACGAAAUUAUCCUUGGUGAGCCCAACCCUCUCGAAUCGGAAUCUACGUGGGGAAGGGUGAAGCCCCAUGGAAAGGAUGAUCGGGGUAUGGUCGAAGGUGAUUCGAGGGAGAGCUUCGACCUUACAGUGCGGAAAGGAUAGAUCCUAUUCCGUAGAUAUAAGAAAUUUGUCGAGCUUGGCCAUGGAAGGGCAAUGCUACAUAUUCCACCAUGUGAAGCAUUGGUUGGAGAGGGGUAGGUCAAUAACCGCUAAGUUGCGGAUAAGGUCAGAGAACAUGGUCAUGGCUUUAAUGCUCCAAGGGUUUUCUUUUCUUUCAGAUUGAUUUUUGGUGAAGUUAAAGCCUCCGCAGAUGACCCAAUUGUUAAGGCAGGUCCCCAUUUGGAGAGAGGAGUUCGGAGCAGAAGUUUUCUUUUCUAUCCCAAGUGGGAGGCCUAUAUAUGUUCGAGAGGUAAAAAGUCUUCCCAUUUGCAAGGUGGGUUAGAUUAAGGGUGAGCGAGUGCUUAUGCAUUAGAGCCUCGUUGCAAGAGAAGAAUUUAGAGCUCCAGCACGUGAUUAAACCCCCUGAGGCCCCGUUUGCCGGAAUAAAAUGGCAUCUGUUGAAGUUAGAGCCACAGCAAGAGCGAAGGAAGAAACGAGACACUGAAUCCACUUUAGAUUCUUGGAGGUAGACUACCGAAGAAAAUAGAUUAGACACCACAGACUUAACACAACGACGCUUAGCCGGGUCAUUAAGACCGCGAACAUUCCAACUUAAGAUUCUAAACAUCAGAAAAUAGAAACCCAAAGAGACAGUACUGACGCAAAAGACACUCGACUCGUAGGCCACCUACGCUUCCGCGCACAAGAGCUUGCAGAACUCUAAGCAUCGGCAUCAGAAAGCUUCACCCCGAAUAAAUGGCCCUUCGCCUUGAUUUUCUUGCUGGUCCAUUUGCGUGCAGAAGUCUCGGAGCAGGUCGUCUCACCCUCGAGCUAGAGAGCUUUCCUGCGCAUCGCCCUACAAAGCAUCGUUGUUGUCGUCCGCUUGUGGACCCGGGUGCUUGACUGAGGCCGGUCCGCCGGAGCGCAGGCAGAGGCAGGCGAGUCCCUGGCUCUAGGAAUCGGACUGAUUGACCGGCUCAACGAAGAGCAGGCCGCUAGGGUUCGGCCCGAGAAGAACAAUGCGAGGGUGUGGGCCCCCAUCACUGCUUAUGGAUGGCCUGAACUCUGGAUGGACAAAAGGACCGCCACCAGGUGACCCAAGCCCGAUGAAGCUUGAGAAGAGUAGGCCACUUCCCUUGGGUGGCCCAAGCCCGCGACGGCUUGGAUGGAUCUGUCUGCCUCCGAAGCCAAGAGAGAAGAGGUCGGACCCACAGCCCGAAAAGCCUAUAUCAGAGACCCAGAAAAGAGAGGUCCAAAGCAGUCUAGAGGGGUUGGAUCCCUUGCUAUCCAAAGGGGUAGGCAGUACAGCUGUAUCCAACCCAGGUGUAGAGAGCGAGGGGACCGAUGCAGAAGAGGUGAAACCCAAAUAGAUGUACUAUCGUUUCUCCGAAAAGCAAAAGAAACCAUCAAAUCUCUUUUUGUCGUCCACAGAGAGGUGCGAAGUCCAAGGCUGGACCUGAGAGCUUCCAAACUCAAGUAAGAAUGGAUUAAAUGCCAAAGAUGGGCCCGUGGUCACAGGGAGCACAAAAGAGGUAAGGCCGGCUGACAAUCUAGUGCAUCGGCCAUCCGAGGCGUCAGUUAGCAUGGAAAAGGUAAGGCUAACGGGAGGGAGAUUUGAAAUCGGGUAGCUUUCCGAGCGACCAGCUGCAUUGCCGUCAGCCGGAGAAAUGGAGGGAGGGGGCGACUGCUGUCUGAACGGUUGACGCGGCGGAGAAGCACUUACCGGGGCGGGUGGGUUUAGACGAGAGAAGCAUCCCUCCGGGUAAGUAGUCCGUCUUCUGUCGUGGGUUUCAGACGAAUUUCAGGAAGCACCGGAAUUGGAUAAGCCACCAGCCGAAGAGUGCCUCCCUCUAGCAGAUCCGGCUGAACGACGAUCUUCUACUUGCGGUCUCGUAGCGAUGGUCGUGCUAGUCUGAUCGCUCGUUAGGAGGAGGGUUGCCGCAGCCGUUGUCCGCAUCGCGGGACCACCUUUCCAACUGGAUGAGCACCGUGAGUGAAAUAUCCCCGAAGGUAAUCUCCAGAUUCUCCAAAAUGUCGGAAAGAUGGUUGAUAGUGAUAAGGCACCGGUAGCCGGACAGGCCGGCCAUACGGCUGCUGAACUCGUCUGCCCUGAUGAACCGGCCGAAGCCACCAAUAAGAGCCGCUACGGUUCAAGAAGACCAACACUCGUAGGGCAAACUUACUAGCCUGAUCCAGACUUUGUAGGAUAAAGGAGGCCUGCGGGCAUCGUUGUAAGGGUUCCAAGGGAAGCAGUAUAAUCUAAGCUCCCCCAAACUGAGAGAUUCCCUGGAGAGGAGGUGUUCGCUCGAGACCCAGUCAGGCAAGAAGACGACGAAGUCUCGUUCGCUAUAGCGGGCGACGUAGAAGUCUGUAGGGUACCCUCUGAAACGGUUUGCAAGCCCGUUGGCGAUGGUAUCUUGGGGGAAGUGGCCGAGGUUACCAAGGGGGCCCAAAUUGUCUAUACUCUAGCCCGUUGGCGAUGGUAUCUUUUUUUUAAAAAAAAUAAUACAAAUUUAUUUAUUUUUUUAAAAAACUAAAUAUUUACUUUAGUAUAAUUAUUUUUAUAUUUUUUUAUUAUUUUAAUUAAAAUAUUAAUUUUAAAUGAAAAUAUUUGAUAUUUAUAUUUUUAAUUUUUUUAAAAAAAUUUAAAAAUAAAUAUUUUAUUAGGCCGAUCCGAAGCACGGCUCGGCCCAGCACGGCCCAUGCCUUCCGGGCCGAAGGGCCGUGCCGGGCUAGAGGAUAGACAAUUUGGGCCCAGCACGACCCGGCCCGAAAUUAAAUCCAGGCUGGGUCGGGCUAGCCCGAGCUCGUUUCGGCCUGAAAAAUAUGGGCCGUGCUGGCCCGGCACGGUCGACAUUAUACCGCUAUCAGUGUCCAUGUAACUCAGUUUUUGCUAUUAUAGUGGUCAUAGAUAAUGUUGAAAACAAAUUCGAUCACUGGGGAAAAAGAUCGGCUUCACCAACUUGUAACGGAUCAUAUUUAUUAAGUUGAAGUAUUAAUUAAAGUCAUGUUUUUAAGACCAUUCAUUGAAUAUAAAAUGUUGAGAGUUCAAGCUUGUAAAGAAAAUGGUGGUUUUAUAUUAUUUCAUGAGUUCUUUUGGAUACUUCUAAUAUCUCUAAGCACUUUGUGUUAUCAAAUUUUUCACCAAUAAAUUUAUUUUUUUGAUCAUUUUCAUCCGUUAUAUUAUACUCUUCAGCCAAUCACCACUCAAUCCUAUGGGAUUAUUAUUAUUCUAACCACACAUCGAUCCUUUUAUCCAAUGGCAGAAAAUCUAAUAGUAUUGAGCACUUUGUACGUUUAGCCAAACAUCAUUAUAAUUUUCUAUUUCUAUCGGAUUGCUCGGAAUCUUAAAAAAUGGCGCGAAUCAAACGCCCCUUAAGUUAAGAUUUAGAAAAGGUAUUUUGACUUUUUUUAAUUUUGAUAAAAAUUUACUUCGCAUUUAAUCCAAGAUGACUUAUGGUACUAACAACAGAGGAAUAUACGAUGAGUAUAUUCGAAACAAAAAAAAAAAGUAAAAAUAUAUAAAAUAUUUCAUAAAUUUUGACAGAUAUAUAAAUAAUUAUUUCUCUCUCUCUCUUCUUGCUCUGCACGAAAUGCUUUUCUUCGUUUCCUAGGGCUUUGAAAUUCCUAGUAGAGAGUUUCUUUCUAUAACUGGAUAAGCCCUUUCGGUUAUAGCAAAUUAAAGAGGUUUUUAGAGCUGCAGAAUAACGGCAGUGAGCCGAAAAACGGAAGAAGACUUUUCCUUCCUAGUUUUGGAACGAUGGGGUGCUCUUCUUGGCUGGCUAGUUGCUCUAAACCUUCUCUCUCUUUCUCGAUUCGAUACAAAGAGUAGGUCUUAUGUGCUAUUAGGAGCGCGAAAACCUCCGUACUUCUAAGUCGUUUUCGAUGAUGGAGCUUCCGAAUCAACGAUCGGCUCUGUUAGACUUAAUCUGGCGUAUUUAAAAUAUCUUGAAAGUAAAUUUGUGAUUUUUCGAUAUUAUUUACCUACCUAUCGAAAUGGUUCAAAAUCAACGGCUGAAAAUAAAAAUCUUACGAAAAGUGGUGAUAUAGUAUUAAAAUUUUCAAUCAGAGAUAUUGAUCUUGCAGUAAAUAGUACAAAAAAUUUUCUAUCAAAAUUUCAUCUGAUUUGAAUAUUUCUACACCGUUAAACUUGCAAACGAUAUACAUCAAUUACUAAAAAUUGUUGAUUUUGAACCCUUUCGAUCGUUAAGUAAAUGAUAUCGAAAAAUCGCAAAAUUUAUUUCUAAAUACUUCAAAUACGCUAAAUCAAUUUUAGCGGAGCCGAUCGCCGAUUCGAAAGCUCCAUUACCGAAAACAGCUUAGAAGAACGAAGGCCUCCGUGCUCCUAAUAGCACACAUAACCUACUCGAAUAUAGAUAUUAUUAAUCAGAUAAGGAGGUUAUAAAUUGGAAUCUUGUCUUAUUCCUGGUUUUAUUUAACUUUCUUCCAUUUAAUUCAGAUAAAUGAUAUUUUGUGCUUAUCAAAAUAUGUCGAGACCAGAUGUGCUGAGGUUGUGACAUAUAUACCACUUUUGUCGAGCGUUGAUAAAAUAUAUUCCGAUGAUUUAAAGUGUCGGAACCUUCUAAAAUUUUGACACUUUAAAAAUGUUGAAAAAUUAAAAGUAAUAGUAAAAUUUAUCAUUAGACGGUUCAUAUGAUGACAGUCUUUGAAGCGUUGGACCUAGUUUUAUUUAACUUUCUCCCAUUUAAGUCGAAUCAUGUUUUGUACUUAUCAAAAUAUAUCGAGACCAGAUGUGCGAGAGACCAUCCAGUAUGUACCGAUGCCUAUGAAAAGUGUUGAUAAAAUAUAUUCCGAUGAUUUAAAGCUUUAGGAUUUUUUUAAAUUCUGACGCUUUAAAGUGUUGAAAAAUUAAAAAUAGUUGUAAAAUUAUGGUGACGUUUUUUUGAAGUGUUAGUAAUGGCUAUAUUAUAGAGAGGAUUGGAAAUACUUGACUCGAGAGUAGUCGAAAAACCUAUCCAUAUAAUGCUUUUUUUUUUUUUUUUUUUUUUUUUGUAGUGGAUAUAAAAAAGACGUAUAGAUGAAGGUUUGAGUUAUUUUUCUAAAAAGGUGUGAAUGUUUGAUGUUUUAUAAAUAGAAAAGGAUAAUAUUUGACAUAUCCUUCAAAACUUCAAAAAAUAUUUUAUUUAUUUUUGAAUAACCAAAAUAUUCUUAUUGAUUGUAAAAAAUUUCUUCAAAUGUACCCUUCUCUCUAAGGUUUUACUAAUGGGAUUGAAUUAAGGUAUUUAAUUUCAAUAUUUUAAAAUUUUUGAAUAGUAAUAACAGGUGUGUAAUUAAGUAAAAUCCACACAGAUGAUAUAUAUCGAACCUAGCAGGACACACUACAAUUAAGAGUCAAAAAAUAAAACUGAGAUGGUGUGUUAACAAAAUUGAGAUUGUGUGUAUGAUUUAAUUAACCAUGUACGUCGACUGUGACUAUAAUAUCAUGGCAAUGGUUUCUCUAUAUAAAAAAAUAAUAAUAAUUUAGUACCAAUUAAUAUUCCAAAGUAAUUAAAAGCUAAUUUAAAAUUAAGCAAUUUUUCUGAUACUAGCUAGAUUAACAAAAACAAUUAAUGGCAUCUGAUGAAUGGUGGAAAUAUUGGUAGAGUACGUGGUGCUACGACUAUUAAUAGAUCAUUGCUUACAGAUAGAUUCAGCGAAUCAAAUUUAUCUAAUCUGCAGAUCAUAGUAAAAAUAGCGCUGUUAAUAUCGUUACUUGCUUAAAGUAUACAAAGGGCCAAGUGAAACAAGCACUAAUUGGUGACGUAAUUGAUGUAUGCACUACCCCUUACCUCUGGAAACUAAAAAUCCCCUUAAGAGUUAAAGUUUUCUUGUGGCUUGCUGGACGCAACAAAAUCUUGACAGCCGACAAUUUAUCUAAGAGGGGCUGGCAAGGCCCCUCAAUCUGUGUUUUUUGCUAUGCUGACGACGAAACUCUUGAGCACAUCCUCUUCUCCUGCAAUUAUGCGACGAUGGUGUGGAACUACCUCCUAAAAGAUAUUCCAAAUACUCACAAAUUGGUGACGGAUCUCCCAAGUAACUUACCAACCAGGUGGAAUCGAGCAAGACAGUCACUGAAGGGGCUUUUAAAAAGAAACUUUGAUAUCUGUUUGGCAGCGGCGUGUUGGGAAUUAUGGAAUCAGAGAAACUGACGAAUCUUCAACGGCCGCCUCAUCCGCUGUGAGGAGACUGCAAAUAGGGUCAUUAAUACGGUAAAGCUUUGGUUAUCUGUGGUGGGAAGCUAGUAGGAGUUGAUUAUAUUAGCCAUCUUCAUUUUGUUUAAUUUUUUUCUUUCCUAUUAUGUUGCUCUUAGUCUCUGUUUUCUUGGACUUUAACUACUGACCCUCGGCAGUGGUCCUUUGUAUUGUUCUCACAAAUAGGGAACAUCCCUGUUUCCUCAAAAAAAAAAGAAACAAGCACUAAUUAAUAAGGCUCUAUCAUAAUGAAGUCCAAUUAAACAUGCUUGAGUUACUUUAAUGUGUUCACAUUUUACUUAAACACACAUAGUAAGCCAAAGUAUCAACUUACAUUUGCUUUAAGACAAUUUAAUGCACUCCCCAUUUAUUACUGAAAAGAAAAAGUUCACGAAAGGAGAAACAACAACCUGUUGAAAAUCAAUAGGCUCAGUGUAUUCUCAAUGAAUCAGUUUAAUAGCAAAUCUCUUUUAAGAACUAUUUAAACUCACUCCUUGCACAUAAAUUUCCUUAGAAAGAUUUAAAAAAAAAAAAAAAAAACUUGUGCAACAUUGAUCAACUUAUUAUACAUGGGUUCUCACUUUUUUGUAUGUGUAGUUCUCUCAUGUUCAUGGCUUUUAUCUUUAGCAAUUCCCUCGGCGGCGUCGACGCAAGGUGUUCUACUACAUGUAGAGUACAACCAGGUGAUAAAACAAUGCUCUUUGUGACUUGCUAAUAAACUACAUGUGGUAAUUCCUUUCAUAUUUUCAUUUAGUGACUGAUGCUAUGAUUUUAUGUACACAAAUAACUGUGUUUUCAGGUGAUUAUCAGCAACGACAUCAUCGAACUAACCAUAUCGAAGCCCGAGGGUCGCAUUACGGGAAUUCGGUACAAUGGUAUUGAUAAUUUGUUGCAGUAUUCAUCUAACCAAAGCAAUUUAGGCGGGUACGUAGUUUCAUAAACACCUACUGAUACAGUACAAAAAAAAAAGAGAAACAAAAAAAGAGAAAAAAAAAAACUGUUGAACUUUGUAGGAUAUGCAUGGUUUGUGUAAAAUUAAUUCAAUCCUAUGCGUGGCUUUUAGGUAUUGGGAUCUUGUAUGGAACUUUCCUGGUUCUGGACAAAAAAGAGGAGUUUUCGCGAUGUGAGUUUGUAAUUUCUUUCUUAAAUGCAUUUCCUCGCGAUCUUACCUUUUUUUCGUUAAGUUUCUGAGUACAAAUAUCUGUAUUAGCUAGAAUUUUAAAAGUUAGCACAAUGUUUUGCACAAAUUUAACAAAAGGGUAAGAUUGCGACGAAAUAAAAAAAACCCUAUAACAAUUGAAUUGAGGAGGAUCUAAUUGAAACUGCACUAUAAUGUUAAGUGUUAGUACAUGCAUGCAAAAACUGCUUAUUCUGAAAAAGGGGCAGAGAUAUAUAUGUUAUGCAGAUUGGAAGGUGCAGAAUUUAAGGUCAUAGUGCAGAAGGAGCAUCAGGUGGAGGUUUCUUUCAGCAGAACAUGGAAUCCGUCGCUACGUAACGGUGUCCGAUUGAAUGUCGAUAUAAGGUACGCAAUCGAAAACCUAAUAUAAAAAAGAAUGAUUUUCAAUCAGUGUGUACAAUAACUCGAAGAUUUGAUCAGGUAUAUAGUGCUUCUCGGUAGCUCAGGGUUUUACAGCUAUGCGAUCUUCGAGCAUAAGAGAGGCUGGCCCGGUUUAGACCUUUCGGAGACUCGAAUCGCCUUCAAGCUUCGCGAAGACAAGUAAGAACUUUUCUUUUUCUUCUUCUUCCUUAUUCUCUUAGCUGCAUUGUGCCAGAUCGUUGGCGCUAACCUUUAAUCCUGAAAGCUCGAACUGUUAGAAAAUUAUAACUAAUUCACUUAAAGUUAUAGAUAUAGUGCCCACAGAUUUCAAUUGUGACUCGACUCAUUCAGCCACACGCCACUUCGAGCAUGACUCAGCCCAAUCUGACCUCCUGCCAUAGGAUAGGAUGUUGGCCCUUUAAGCCAGCACAUUGUUGUAUUAUGAUGAACCUAAUUGAAUUUGGUGAUUUAUCGGCUUGUCAGGUUCCGAUACAUGGCGGUAGCUGACGACAGAAGAAGAAAAAUGCCGAGAGCUGAGGAUCGGCAGUUCCCACGAGCGGUGACAUUGGCGUACAAGGAAGCGGUUCGAAUCGUGAACCCGCUCGAGCCCGAGUUCAAGGGCGAGGUAAAAUCCAACUCGAUGAUCAGCAAAAUCAAAACUUUAAUUCUGCGUAAGUAAAUAAACUCUAUUGAUACUGAGGCUUAUGAUCAGGUGGAUGAUAAGUACCAGUACACGGUUGCUAACAAGGACAGUAGGGUGCACGGAUGGAUCUGCUCUGAUCCACCAACUGGUUUCUGGGUCAUCACACCCAGCAACGAAUUCCGCGCCGGUGGGCCCCUUAGGCAGGAACUCACCUCUCAUGUCGGUCCGACCUCUUUGGCGGUGAGCUGCGCUUUUUGUUUCGGUAAAAAACAAAACAUACAAAACUUACCUGAAUUAUAAAUUAUUUUGAGUCGGCUAUUCAAUCUUUUUGAAAUUUUGAUUUUGCUAUCCAACCUUUCAAUUCGUUUGAUUUGACUUCAAAACUAACUACUUAUUUUAAUGAAUAAAGAGUUGAGAAAAUUGCAUAAAAAAUAUACAGGUUAAAUUUGUAAAAAUAAACAACAUAUUCAAAUUUUGAAGUCAAAGUGAUGUUGACUGACUCAAAUCAAACAAAUUGUAAGAUUUGAUAAUAAAAUCAAAAUUUUGAAAAGCUGGAUAGCCGAUUCAAAUAAUACAUUGUUCAGAUAAGUUCUGUACGUUUAUUGUCAUUAUUUUUCUUAAGCAAGUUAAGGUAUAUUAACAUCCGACUGAUGUGCUUAAUAGAUUGAAGGGUACGUAAAAUUGAUAGAUGAGAUAUGAGAUAAAAAUUUAAUUGGCUAAAUGUUACAAGUGGCAGUUGAACCCAUGGCUCGGCAAAAUGAAAGGAAUUUAAAAUUUGACUCUUAUACCAUAUUGUCCAAAAAUAUCUAUCGAUUAUAGCAGGAAACGAGCUCAGAAAUAUAUAUUAACAGUUACUACUAGUCAUUUGAAAGUAUGUAAUUUAUUCAUCGAUGAUGCGUACGACAUAUACAGAUUUUUCUGAGCGAUCACUAUACGGGAAGGAGCGCGCAUUUCCGACUGGAGGACGGCGAGCACUGGAAGAAAGUUUUAGGCCCCAUUUUCAUCUACUUGAAUUCUGCUGCAAACCAAAGAGAUGUUGCACUCCACCUCUGGGAGAAUGCAAAAGCCCAGGUAAUAAAUUAGGAUCCAAAUUCAAAUAAUUAGUAAUCCAUUAAUAAAAAUAUACUAGUUUGUGACAUCUCAAUAGUACCACAUCGAACGUUAGAUCUAAACGAGAGAAGUAUGUGACAUUCUAAUAGACCCUCAUCGAAUAAUAUGAAAGAGUGUGAUAGUUUUAUAAGUAAUGGACACACUAGUAAUAAUAAUUGAGUUUAAGCAUUUGGGGCCGGUACGUGAUUUGGACCCAACGAGUUUUUAUUGCUAACAGGUCGGAUCGUCUCAAGUUCUUAAUAAUUUUUCAAUCUAAACUGAUUGAUAAGAGUUUGGUAACAAACAAACUUAGCCAUUCCAAAUGUAUAAUAUGCAGUAUUUUUGAAAUAUUACAAAUCUAAAAGCAAAUGGCCCCCCUAGGACUAUUGGAGUAGGAUCUUUUAAAUCGACUUUUCGAAGCACAUGGACAUUCAAAUUGACAAUCGGUCUUAUUAAAUAUGAUCUACAUUAUUAGAAUUACUUAGAUUUUCGAAUUUCACUACUUUUAAUAUUAUUUUUUUAGUAUUGAAAGGUUUCAAAACUAACAAAUUUUAUGGUCAAUGCGAUGUAUUUAAAUUUAACAGUGUAGAAUAAUUCAACAGAGAAAUUUUGAUAGAAAUUUUUUUUCCGCUAUCUAGAAUACGAUUAAUUUGUUUCAUUUGAAAUUUAAGUUCUAGUAUCAUCUUUUUUUUAUAAUAUUUUUAUUUUAGCCGUUUAUUUUGAACCCACUUAUUUUCCAAAUAAAUAAUGUCAUAAAACAGUGAAUUUAAAAAUAUUUUUAAUAGAUUCAAUCAUAUCUAAUAGAGCCGAUCAUCGAAUUCAUAAUUUCAUAAACACUCUGGCUAAGCUCUUAUAAAUUGUACCAUUUCCAAAAUUAGUAAGGUCUCAUUUGGCACCAUCACUCUCUUUUUAUUCGUUUAAAUAGAAUUUGAAACAGUAUUUGGAUCUCUUGCAAUUCUUACAUCCAAGCACAUUUUUCAACAUUAAUAAAAAAAAAAAUCAAAAAUUUGGAAGCAGUUUUUUUUUUUUUUUUUUUUUUUUUUUUUUUUUUUUUUUUUUUUUUUUUUUUUUUUUUUUUUUUCCUGCUUUCAAGAUUGUUUUAAAGAAGUCCUCAUCCAUCACUUGGUAUGGGUAUAUUGUGCAGGCUAAUCGAUUGUCACAACAAAAUAAAAAUUCCUCCAUAGAUAUAUCAAAUUAUAUAGAAUUAGUAUUUCAAAAUACAAAAAAGGCAACGACGUCAAACAAGGCCUUAGUUAGCUUGUGGUGUUGUUAAUCACUCUUGCUAAUUUUCUUUCUCUUAUAUUUUCAGAUGCAAAUUGAGACAAAGAGAUGGCCCUAUGGUUUUCCUGCAUCAUUGGACUUUCCAAAAUUGAACCAAAGAGGCUUGGUUUUUGGCAAACUAAUGGUUCGAGAUAGGUACACUUUUUAAUUCAACUUCAAAGAAAGAAAAAAAAAAAAAAAAAAACAGUAAACUUUCUUAAAGGCAUUUUUAUAGUUUCACAUGAUGAUCAUAAAUUAUUACUCUUAAGAGAAUACAGCCCUUCGUACUCAUAAGUUAUUUUUGAUGAUGGAGCUUCUGAAUUUACGAUCUAGUUCGUUAAAUAUGAUCUAGAGUAUUUGCAACUUCUAGAAAAUAAAUUUCGUAAUUUUUCGAAAUCAUAAUAAAGUCCAUCAAGCGGGAAUAAAAUGAACGGUCAAAAUCGAACGGCAUCCUAAACUGAAUAAUCAGAUCCUUUAAUUUAAUAUCGGAGUUAUUGAUCUUUAUUUAGGUAGUGAAUAUAAUUUUCUAUCAAAAUUUCAACCUAUUCCAAUUCUUUUUAUAUGGUUAAACUAGCAAGUAUUUCAUGCCGGCCGUUAAAAAUUGUCAAUUUUGUAACCUUUUGAUCGUAAGAUAAAUGAUGUCGAAAAAUUAUAAAAUUUGAUUUUUAGAAGUUUUAAAUGCUUUAAAUAAUGUUUAACAGUAUGGAUCGUUGAUUCAGAAACUCUAUCAUCGAAAACGACUUAUGAGUAUGAAGAUAAUCGUACUCAUAAGAAUAUAGUAGCCAGACUCUCUCUCUCUCUCUCUCUAUAUAUAGAGAAAGAGAAUCUGACUACAAUGCUAUUGAUAGCAACACUUGGUGCUAUCAAGUUUUCUACCAUUAGAUUAAUUUUAGGGAACCACUAUCAUCCUAAUCGUACAUUGCUUCAUUCAAAGGCCAAAAACUUAAUGGCACCAAUAACAUAGUGCUAAAAACUCCAAAAUAAACACACAUAUACACGCGCAAGCGCGCGCGCGCGCGCGCACACACACACACACACAUAUAUAUAUAUAUAUAUAUAUAUAUAUAGAGUAGGGCUAGAAUACUUUUACAAGUAUCACCCAAGUGAUACUUGUGUGUUUUUAGCCAUUAGAUCUACUUUUUGAUUACUAAUAGUUCUUGGAUCAAACACUAUUCCACCUACCACCACCUACCACCAUCAUCUCAACCUCACAUCUCUCCAUCCAAGGGUUAAAAACACACAAGUAUCACUUGGGUGAUAUUUUUACAAGUAUUCUAGCUCUACUCUAUAUAUAUAUAUAUAUAUAUAUAUAUAUACAAUUUCUUCACUAGAAAAGGAGCACACAAAAGUUUAUUGGGUUAAAUAUUUAGGCACAGAUGUUUCAAAACAUUCACUGUUUAUCAGUUUGUCCACUUUCAAAAGUAACGUACCUGAGAGUUCGGCUACUAUACUCUUAUGAGUACGAUCACCUUCGUACUCAUAAGUCGUUUUCAAUGAUAGAGUUUCCGAAUCGACAAUCUAUAUCGUUAAACAUUAUCUAAAACAUUUAAAACUUCUAGAAAUCAAAUUUUAUAAUUUUUUUGACAUCAUUUACCUUACGAUCAAAAGAUCACAAAAUUGACAAUUUUUAACGGCCGGUAUGGAAUGCUUGGUAGUUUAACGGUGUAAAUAAUCGGAAUAUGUUGAAAUUUUUAUAGAAAAUUUUAUUCAUUACUUAGAUAAAGAUCAAUAACUCUGAUUUUAAAUUGAAUGAUCCGAUCGUCUAUUUUUAGGACGUCGUUCGAUUUUGACCGUUCAUUUUAUACCCACUUGAUGGACUUUAUUAUGAUUUUGAAAAAUUACGAAAUUUAUUUUCUAGAAGUUUGAAAUACCCUAGAUCAUAUUUAACGGAAUGGAUUGUCGAUUCGGAAGCUCCAUCAUCGAAAACAACUUAUGAAUAUAAAGAACUCUAUACUCAUAAGAGUAUAGUAGCCCUACUCCUUACAUGAUGUAAAUAAGACUUAAUUACACCAACCACACUUUGCCUUACGGGUUUUUUUUUUUUUUUUCCUAUAUUGUAUUAUUUUUUAUCAAAGACACCACUCAAUUAUUCUGUUUUUCAAUUCUUUAAACUAUAAGCAAUAAACCUAUCAAUUUGGAUGAAAAAUACUAAAAAAUACUGAUCGAAAGUGAUACAACAUGUAUUUAGCUCAUUUUAAUAUGAAAAACAACAGAGUACAUAUAGAUAAAAAAAAUAGUUAAAAGUAACUUGAUAGAAGAUUUUAGCGAGUUAUCAUAAAAAUUUAUUUUAUAUUUUUUCUACUAUUUAGCCUGCGCAUUUUUAAUGAAUUUGUUGGAUUCUUUUCUAAAUUUAUAGGUUUAUUAACGGUCAUAUAGAGUUUAGCGAGAAAAAGAAAUAGUUGCAUAAUAUUUAUGAGAAAAGAAUAGUCCAAGAUAGAAAAGAAAAAAAAUAAUCUAAAAUAUUGUGUGGAGAUUGAUAAAAUAUAUUAUACGAUGGUGUCUUUCAAAAACAAAAAAAAAAAAAGUAACUAAUGUAGCAGAUGAAAAUAAGAGUAAAGUACAUUGUAGUAGGAUGUAUUAACCCUAUAAUAACUUCUUAUCCAUGUAAGCAUUUGUUCAUGCAAAUUUAAAAAAGAUUAAUUACUAAGCAAAUGUGGUGCUUAAUUAAUGUUUCAGAUGCAUUAGCAAAUAUGAUAUACAUGCAGAAGGGGCAUAUAUUGGCUUGGCACUACCAGGAGAACCAGGAUCAUGGCAAAGAGAAAGAAAGGUAAAAGAAAAAAAAACAACAACAACUAUGCAGUUUCAAUUUUACACUUUAAUCCUCAAAAAUAAAGAAAAAUAUGUUUGUGCAAAACUAAUCUGAACUAUAUCGUAUUUCUGAAGUAUAUAAAAAGAACCGUAAAAAACUUCGAUUUUACUACCUGAUCUUAUAGUGUUUUUGAAAUAAAAACCUAAAUUUUAAAAGUUUUGAUUUUUUUACUAUCCUAUCUUUCUAAUAUUUGUAACAUUUCGACGGACUAUCUUAUAAGAAGCAUUACAUCUAUUUUAGCGCACAAGGAAGUAAAAUCAAAACUUUUAAAGUUUUAAGUAUCUUAUUUAAAAACCCUAAAAGGGGUUGUAAGUAGAGAGGAAAAAAAAAAAAACACAAAGACCGCCCGAACUUCAGCUCUUUUGCUAAAAGGUGCUAGUUUUCAGCUUUAAAAAAUUAGACCCCUAAUCUCCAUCAAAUAGUUUAAUAAGCUCCGUCUCUUCAAUCAAAAUCACUAAUACAUACAUAGCCGUUUUAGUUGCAUGUCGUGCACACAAUCUUAUAAGAUUUGGAAAUAUAAAAUAUUUUUGAAGCUUAUAUAAGAUUGUAUGCGAACAAAACAACGGUGCAAUUAGUAAGUUUGGUUGAAGAGAGUGGAUUAUUGAACUAUUUAAUAAAGUUUAUGGUCCAAUUGCGAAAUCAGAAGUUUGGGCAUCUGUUUGAAAAUUAGUCAAAGUUCAGGGUGUCUUUGUUCAUUUUUUUUCUUUAAAAUUUCAUAUAGUCCAGGAAGGAAAGGCCUAUACAAUUUUACAGAAAAAAAACAACCUUAUAUUUUAUUAUAUUUACAGGGAUAUCAGUUUUGGACCAGAAGUAAUCCCAGAGGUGAUUUUGUUAUCAAGAACAUUCGACCCGGACGCUACAAUCUUUACGCAUGGGUCCCUGGAUUUAUUGGUGAUUUCAUGCACAAGUCCACAAUAACUGUUAAUCCAGGUUAAUUUCUAUAGUUUCAUUCUGAUCCUUAAACUUUUUUAAGUUCAAAUAUUCAAAAUUCUGAACUUUUAGAACAGUAUCAUUUUAGUCCUUGCCUUGUUUGCACCUAGUUCAUUUGUAUGUUCAUAAACUACGAAUCUAUUGAUUCUUACUCCAACCAUCUUAAUUUAGAUUUUCAAUUUAAUGAUUUAAUUUCUAAAAAAAUAAAAAAAGACUAUAAUUCAAUAGACAAUAAUUUUUUUUUUUUAAUUAAUUUCCAUGAACAAGAAUAAGACUGAAGUGAAAUAAUUUUAAGAGUUUAGAGUCUCAAAGAUCAAUUAUUUAUAAAGCUCAGGAACUAGUUGUGCGACUUUACGCAUUAAAUAAGAAAACCUCUGACACUGGCUUAACCAACUGUCCUUAGAGCAAGUAGUAAAAGACUUGAUAGUUGGUACCCAAGGUCCCAAGUUAGUAACCUAGUUACUUUAUAUUUUUAGUUAAGUUUAUUUGAAAAGAAAUAAGCGAAGGGGUAGCAUGCUACCUUUCUCUUUCAAAAAAAAUUAUGACACGGUUGACACUUUGAUUUUUAAACUUCAAUUUGUUAUAAUUUUUUUGCGCAAAAUUUUAAAAUUACUGUAAUCAAAUCUUAUAGCUUAGUUUGGUUGACUAACUUUUAAUAUAUCUCCAACGUAAAAAUAAUAUAACAAUAUUGUAAUUAAUGAUGCGCCAAUAAUUUAAAAUGUUACAUUACUUUUAUAUCAGCGAUAUAUGCGUCAAUAUUUAUUUAACUAAAUUGGAUUGUGGGACCUGAUUGUAAAAAUUCUUAAAUUCGAGUAAAAGAUUAAUUAUAACAAUUAUUAAAGUUUCAGGACUAAAGUGUUGCCCGGCUUAUAAUUUGAGGACUAUGUAUAUGUACAUGCAAUUUGCCCUUUAUUUUUUUUUGAUAAUAAUAAUUAGGUGGAAGCAUCAAACUCGGAACGCUCGUAUUUGAACCUCCGAGAAGUGGGCCCACUCUGUGGGAAAUCGGCGUUCCGGACCGUUCGGCCGCCGAGUUCUUCGUUCCGGAUCCAAGGCCAGAAUACGUCAACAGGCUUUUCAUCAACCAUCCGGAAAAGUAAGUUCACAACUAGAGACCUUGCUAUUAAAGCAUAUUAUAAUCAAGUUGUUUAUAAAUUAGUGGUGUUUUACUUUUACCCCCAUAGUUUUAAUUUCGUUGGCGUUUUUUUUCGAGUGUUUUAAAUCAAUUUCAAAUUUGCCAGUUAGAGCGGUCUGACUAUGAUCCAACGUCUAGAGCUGUUCAAUUCAACUUAUAAGACUAGUUGACUUAACUAAAUAUAAGGGAUCUAAUAAUAAUCUUAACUAAAUAUAAGGUAUAUAUCAGGUUCUCUAAUAAUAAUAACUGGGUUUAAUCAUACUGCAAUAGCCAAUAGUCCCACAUCGAUAUAAGGAAUUAGGACCUUGUAAUAAUAACCGAAUUUUAACAUUUUGGGCUAGUAGUUUGGGACCUGCGAGUUAUCUUUACAAGUGGUUGGUACUGUUACAUUUGGAAACCAGACGAAAGUGGUUUGAGUCCAACGAGUUAUUAAUUUUUACUAGUGGUUCAGUUGGUUAUACUUGGUAUCAGAGUCGAAUACAUGCUGAAAGUGAUUUUGGCCAAACGAGUUAUUAUGCUAAUGGCUCGGACCUGUUACCUUUGGUAUAUAUCAUAGCUGAGUAUAUAUAUACUAGCUCAAAGUGUGAAAUCUAAGUGCUAUUCGGGAUAAAAAUACUACACCACAUCUCGAGAUAACUCUUGUUUAUGUGUGUGAUUGAGGCCCUAGUAUAUAAUAAUAAUAAUUAAUCUAAAGUAUUUUGGGCUGAUAAUUUAGGAUCUAUGAGUUAUUAGUACUAGUGAGUUGGACCGUUACACUAUCCAAUAAGUGAACUCAUGUCGUUCAUUCUAAAUUUUUUCAAACUGGUCAAAUAGAUUAAUAACGCCAUACAUGCGGCCUAAAACAAAUAAAAAACCUUGUACUUUAUAAUCUCUAAAAAACACUAAUCAAGUAUAUUAUAACCAUAUAGGAUACUGAGAUUAAUUAUGAAAUACAUUUCAUUUUGCACAACACAAUUAAAAUUAAUUACUCUAUCAUGUUGACGUCAUUGGUUCAAUCUAGUAACUAAAACCGCUAGUUGAAGCAACCCCAAUGUGAUAAUAUUAAUUUUUAAGUUAGAAUUAAUUUCAUACAGCUCCCUGUAAACAUAUCGAAUAGCAAAUAUAUUCCUACAAAGUUUAAUUUAUUGUAUUUAUUUCUAUAAAAGUUCAGUGAUAUUUAUAUUUUUUCCUCUAAUUUGUUAUCAUUAGAGUAUGGUUUAUUUCUUAAUAGAAAAUAAGUAAAAUAACAUUUUUGUCAUCACAAAUAUGUCCCUCUAAAAGUCUCAACUGUUAGAAUUAUAUAGAAAUGUUCUUUUAUAAAUUUUCAAUGAACAUUUUUUUUCUUUCUACUAUCACAAAUAAUAUCAGAGGAUAAAAAGGUCAAUUUAUUUUAUUUACUAACCAGGAUUAAGUAUUUUAUCUAUGAUUAACUAUAUUUUUAUAACAAAUCCUAAUAGAGAUAUAUUUGAAAACGUUAGAAUGGUUGAACUUUGUACGGAUAUAUCUGCUAUUCGAUAUGUUUACAGAAAGUUGUAUGCAAUUAAUCCUUUUAGUUAUUAUAAGUUUCGGAUUUUGAAACACUUUUUUUUUUACUUUUAUUUGACAGGUAUAGACAGUAUGGUUUAUGGGAGAGGUAUGCGGAUUUGUACCCGAAAGAAGAUCUUGUUUAUAAGGUCGGAGUUAGUGAUUACAAAAGAGAUUGGUUUUUCGCGCACGUUACAAGGUAAUAUACAUGAUUUUUAGGCUCUUUCUCUCUUCACAUAUCGUUAUUUAUCGAUCUCGAGCACAUUUUCGAGUACUUUGUGCUAUUUAAUUUGAAAGAUUUUCUGUGGAUAUAACAAGAUUUAGGUUUGUGGGUUCGAGUGUUUUUAUAACAAUGUUUUGUUGCAUGCAGGAAAGUAGGGAACUCUUUCGAACCAACAACAUGGAGGAUAAAAUUUAGCUUAAACUUUGUCGAAACUAGUAGGACAUAUACAUUGCGUUUGGCCAUCGCAGCUGCACAUUACGCUCGCUUAGAGGUUUGGAUCAUUUCCCUUUCGUUUAGCUUUCGCACGCUUUAGUCGCAUUAUUCACUUUGUUUCUACAUCAAGGUUCGAGUGAACAACCCGAAUGGAGAACCGCAUUUUACGACGGUAGCGUUCGGGGACGGCAACGCGAUUGCGAGGCAUGGAAUACAUGGCCUUCAGUGGAACUUUGAUGUAAGGAUAGAAGGGAGAUUGCUCUAUACGGGCGAGAAUACGAUCUAUCUAACUCAAGCCAAGGGAGGGCAUGUGUUUUAUGGUGUUAUGUACGAUUAUCUUCGAUUGGAAGGACCUUAAAUGUGUGGUUGCAAAAUAUAAACCUAAAAAUUACCAAAUUGCUUGCAAGAUCAUCGAGAAUGUAAUGUUUGCGAUUAUAUUACGCAUGCGAAUAAGUGAAAAAGCCCUAAAUCGGUCCGACUUGCACCAAGAAACUUCAACCCUAAGUCCGGUAAUUACUGAAAACUUCUAAAACAUGAUGUAGAAGGACCAUGCAUCAACCAUCCUUUUUUGCUCGUUGAGAAGCUUAAUUGGCUAGUAAGAUCUCCUCACUUGGAUAUUCUGUUCAUUUUUAUCGUUUAGUUAGUGAAGCUUCAACGCCCCAAGUUAUUAGGCGAGCAUUAAAAGCAAGCUGAGCGCGCGACCAGCUUAAGCUCGAUCUUUUCUGACCCAGAAGGAUCUAGACAGUCGAGUCUGGUUUGGAUCGAGACACAAGUCUGAAGGACAUAUCUAGUCGAUCUUAGGUCCAGAGAUUGUCAUAUUACUGAAAAAUUGUCACACCAAAGCUGCUUAGAUGAUUUCCUCUAAUUCUCCAUAUGAGCUUCUCUGAUGAAAAUUAUUUAUUGGCUGAUAAGGUUAGCCCUAGUUCACAUAAUUAACCAGGUUACAUCUACUAAAACCUUCUAAGUCUUUUUUUUCUCUUCUAUUUUUUUUUUUUUUUUUUUUUUUUUUUUGCAUAUACAUCAUUGCAUUUCUUCUGAUAGUACUGUUUACUGUUUAGAUAACAUAACCCUGAAAUGGAUACCAUCUGUUAGUCCUAACAAAUUAAUUGAUCCAAAUAUUAACAAGUGCAAUUAGCACCUCUAUCCAACAACAGGAAACCUAAUUUGUUCACUAGCUUAUACAACUGUGAAUUAUUAGAUGUUCAACAAUUUGAUGAGAAGUUAGAACUAAUGUUGCUAUCUUAGUUAUAAAAUAUGAAGUGGUUUUAGGAAAUUAUAGAAAAGGAUUACAAAUUGAAAAGCUAAAUACAAAUCUAUCAAAGAUAUAUAUUCUCCUUGAUACCUUCUUAGGAAGGAAGCUUACUAUUUGAAAUUAAGUGUAUAUAUAUAUAUAUAUAUAUAUAUCCAAUUGCAUUUGAGUUUAAUGACAUGUCAUUUUUGUAUCAAUUUUUACAGGUUAAAAACAUUAAUGGCAUGAUAGUCAAUUAAUACGACUUAUUUAAAUUCAUCCUUAUCAAAGUAGAGCUAUAAGCAAUUAUUAUAGUUUCUUCAUUUUCCACCGACAAGGCCACAUUCAUGAGUUAAUACUGGCAAAAAAAAGUCAUACUUAAUUUUUAGCAAAUAACUAGAUUUGUAUUCGUGCAACCAAACCUGAUAAUCUCUAUCCGUACAUGCCAGUAUCCACAGAUUAUUCAUAAAUUUAUGAAUACAGGCACUAGUUUUUUUGACCCAAAAAUUUAUGGGUAAUAAGAGAUAGAUAUAUGUUAAAUUAUGAAUAUUUUUUGAGAUCCACCGAUAACCGUGAGUACCCGCAUAUAUAUAUAUAUAUAUAUAUAUAUAUUAGAAGGCCCGCUUCAGGAAAACUAUCUUUUCUUAAAGGAUCAAUCCAAAACUCCUACCUAAUCUUUUCUUGGAGUUGAAGAAGCAGUCAAAAGAAAGAUUCUAUUAUUAAUCGUAAGAGGCUCCAUUUGAGUUUUUAUUCUAUUGCUAGUAGUAGGGUAAAAGGAUAAAAUAAGGGUAANUCCUAUUCAAUUGGUCAUUAUAAUCCUCUUGUCGUAAUGUAUAGCUAGGUGUUGCACAUAUCAACGUUUACUAAAUUUGCCUACGAAUUUUUCCUUGGAAACAAGUAUUUUGUCGAAUUAGUUCAAGGAAAAGGAUAGGCUUGAUUAUACUAUACUACACUAUAAUUUAUAGAUUUUUUUUUUUGUAUUUUCUUAGUUAUAAUUUGAAAGGGAAUAAUGAGGAUGACAACCGGAAGAGACGAUUAUCGAACUCGAACACGAGCCACGAACACUUCAAGAAAUAAACACGAGCAAAUACUCGUACAUGGGGAAAGCCUCGAGCCACGGGUUCAGCGCUUUCCAAAGAGUAGAUUUGCCCCCACACAAAGUUUGCUUCGGGUUAUGACAAAGAAUUCUCGGGAUAGAACGAGGCUAGAGAUACUCAAGAAGCAAAACUCGGAAUCUCUCACGCUCUUAACUCUGAAAUCUGGAAACUUUUUUAUGAUAUGAAUUUUGACACAAGAGCCUCUAUUUAUAUGUUUUCAAAAGGUACAUCCGAAUCGAAAAGUCAUGUCUCUUUGAACAGACAUGUCCCUACAAAGGAAUCCAUUCGUUUGAACAGACAUGUCCCUAUAAAAGAAUCCAUUCAUUUGAACAGACAUGUCUCUACGAAGGAAUCCAUUCGUUUAACACAUAAAUUUUACCAAGUAAUUUAUCAAAUACACAUCAUUAAAAUUUGCAAUCUAAUUUCUCAACAUGCAUAGGCGAGGGCCAGGGCGAGGGCGUGCGGGGCGAGGCGGGCUGUUUCCGCCUCCGCCUCCACUGCCUUCUUCGGAAAGAGAAAAAAAAGAAUGAGAAAAAAAAAAAGAGUUGAGAGAAAAAAUAAUAAUGGUAUUUUGGUCAGUUUGCUGAAAAUUCGGCCCGAAUUUAUAAAAUCGAAAAAAGUGGCCCACUUUUGCCAAAGCGCAAAAUUAGUGAAUUUUUUAUGCAAAUUGGCCCCCAAAAAAAGAUAUAAAGUAAACAAAAAGCUAAUAAUUUGUAGUGUCCCUAGUAUUCUGUAGCUCGAGGGUUUCAGCAUUUGAGGCUUGUUGACACAUCAGGAGAGUGCCGAGACAAGUCGGAGUCGUUUUGGACAAAUUGGAUGCAAAACGGACUUAGUGUGAUGCGAGAGCAGACUUUUGAUAUUGGAAUCUGUAAAGUGCAAGAUUUCAGUAUUGAGUACCGGUACCAGGGUGAGGAGUACCGGUACCCCAGUGGAAUUCCAGAACUGAUGCUCUCGGGUUGCGCCAAUCUGAUGCCGAGUACCGGUACUGCAUCAGGCUGGUACCGGUAUCCUGUGUGCGAGCUUGCGAGUUGAGAGGCCGAGUAUCGGUAACCAAAUUGGGUACCGGUACUCCAGCUGGAUUUCUGAGUUGGUAAGGAGCCUUUUGGUCAUUUGAGGCAUCGUUAAUCCCAACCUUAUCCCACCUCUUUAUAUAUGUAUGAGAGUCAGAGAAGAGGUAGUGGACGUCGCUUGUAGUAGAGUCGCGGCUCGAGCUCGGGUGGACUUCGACGUUGCGCCGGUGGACCGUGCGAGCGUGUGGGCGUCGUGGUUGCGCUGUUGGAGGCCGGGCGAGCGCGUGGUUUCCUCUCCUUUCGACUUCUCGCCGUAGUUGGACGAGCUCUUUGAGAUGGGUUAAUGUUUACCGAAAUUAUCGGAAUUCCUCCUAAGUUUUAGUAACGUCGACAUGUUCUAUUGGUUUUAUUUUCUUACUAGUACUCAAAUUCAUGGAUUAUAGCAUAAAAUCUGAAUUUGGAGUUAAGUUAGUAACUAUAUUCAUACUGGACUUGGAAUUGACUUAGGAGAAAACUAUUGAACCCUACGCUGUCACUUUUCUGAAAAUUACCAUAUUUAGCUUUAGAAGUUGUGAUUUAUUUGUAACGCCGCUGUUCGUAUGUGGUAGAUAUCCAGGUUAGUGUAGGAUGAGUUUACGCUCGUGCUGGUAUGUCGAACUUAUUUUACAGUAGUGUGUAGACUGUUUCAGACUGUCGGGUGCCGUCGCAGUUGACGGUAGACCCAGAUUUCUGUAUUUUGCAUCAGAUUGUCCCAAGGGUACGUGAGCUUUGGUUGUUAGACCAGUUAGAUCCAUUUGCAUUGAUUACAGCCUAUGAGAGGCUGAUUGAGCUCGAUAGAGAUACGCUUGUAUACUCGGUUGGGUCGCGUCCACGAGUGCCGCUCCGGAGUCUGGCUUUUUACUUUGCAUUUAUGUCGUUGUUGUCUGGUUUGGACUUACUCUCCACCGGCAGCCCUCGGGGUGGUGUUCGGUAUAGGUUCGAUAGGCGAGACGGGUGUAUUCACAGUCCCUAGUGAGAUUGAGUCAGAGAUCGCAUUGCAUUUAUCUACAGAUAGCUAGUCUUGGUUAGCGAUAGUAUAAUGGCAUAUAGCUGUAGGGUUUUCCAGCUUUCUUUACUAUCUCUUGCACACUUUUCUGUAGACUUAGUGGGUGAGCUGUUGAGGUCGGUGACGGUACCCACUAAAGAUUAUUCUAUUUUGCAGUAGUUCUCACACCCAGUUGUUGACCCAUUUUUGCAGAGCCUUCGUCCGCGGCUGCUGCUGUUGCUGAUUCUGACCGCGGGAAGGGAGUUGCGAGUUAGAUCCCUACCAUUCGUGUCGUUGUACUAGAGGAGGACCCUUCGCAGGUAGUUUGGGGUGUUUUUGGUUCAUGUACAUACUUAUAUUGGUUUACUCGCUAGAGCGAGGGUUGGUUGCAUCUCGGAAACUUUGUAUGUAUAGUGAACCUGUUAUUUUAUCUUUAUAUUCAGUUCAGUUUAGCAGCUCUAUACUACUAAUUGUGGUGUUGCUGUGAUUACAUGUGUAGCUAUUGUUUCGUAUACACAGGAAAUCUCUAUGUAUACGGAGGGCGGGUCUGUUGGCGUGCCCGGGGAAACGUAUUAAUCCGGAGCAUGACAUAAUUAUUUAGAGAAGAAUUGUAAAGGAAAAGAAAAGGCAUUCUUUAGCCCUGAGAAAAAGUUGUCUUUUCUUUUCUAUAUAAAGUAGCAUUGUUAUUCCAACAGGGUUACUAUACUAUUAGGAGCACAACAGUCUUUGUGUUCCUAACUUUUUAACCAUCCAUCAAUUUUGAUGGGUGGUUAGGAUGAGAGAGAGAAGAGAAAUUGGUAAGAAAUUAAAUGUCUCAUUUUUUCUACUUUUUAAAUCUCUCUUUAAUUUUUCUUUUCUCUCGUCCUAACCGCCUAGCAAAAUUGAUGAAUGAUUAGGAGGUUAGGAGCACAAGAAUUGUUAUACUUCUAAUAGCACAAUAGCCCUAAUAGUGUAGAUCAAAUCUAACGAAGCCGAUCGUCGAUUUAAAAGUCGCAUUAUUAACAACAACUUGAUAGCACGGAGGCCUCCGUGCUAUUGAUAGUAUUCCAGCCUAGUUCUAUAUAUAAAUAUAUAGAACUAGGCUGGAAUACUAUCAAUAGCACCAAUGACUUGGUGGUAUUAAGUUUUCUGCUCUUGGAUUAAAAGAUGUGUGGUUAGGAUGAUGUGGGCCCCCUAGGGUUGAGUGGGUGGUUAGUUGAAUAGUAUAAUCGAACGGAUGAAAAUAAUAAAAGAGAUAAAUCUAACAGCAGAAAAUAUGAUAAUACCAAAUGCUUCGUGCUAUCGAUAGUAUCCCAGCCGAACUCUAUAUAUAUAUAUAGAUUAUAUAUAUAUAUAGUCAAAAUCUAAUCUGGAUAGAGAUUGACUACUAAAGUAACUAAAUCCAAAUAAAUUUAUUUUAUUUAAUUAAGGCACUUCUUGCCUUCACACAAAAUUCAUCAGUUCAAUAUAUAUUAUAUAUAUAUUAGUAAUAUAAUAAUAAGAAGAUGAAGAAAAAGUAAUGCUACAUGUGUAGCACAUGCUAACUUUAUCCAUCAAGUCAAUUGUCAGAGAUUAAAAAGUCAUGCAUUCUCCAGUAAUUAAAUGAUGCCGUGUGAACAUGUCGACUAAAGAAAACAUACCUAUCAAAAAGAAUAGUAAAAUGUGUUACACAUUGAUAUAUGAACGUGAAAAAGUUAACAACAAUACAUGUAAACAGUAUAAUGGAUAAUGUGACCAUGCAUGUGUCUUAAUGAGUUACCAUACAUAAUGAUGAUAUUUUCAACAUUCAAUUAAUGAGUUAGCAUUCGCAACGUAACAAUUAAAUUAGUUUUAAUUUUUCUAAACUUAGUAACUUGUUGUAUUUGAAGUGGAAAGAGCUAACCGUACUUAAUGCCUUUUGAUUUUUUUUUUUUGUAAUUGAUGUAUCACGUUAAGAAUCUGAUGUUAAGUUUAUCGACAAAAAAUAUUAUAUUUUUUUGGAUAAGAAAUUUGGUGUCUGAAAUUAAGUCGUCUUCCAUCUGAAAAAGAAUAUUUACUAUUAAAAUAAAUUUUGUUCUGAAAAAUUUAACUAUCCAUCUUGUUAAAUGAUAAACUCUAAUUCGUGUUGACACUCAGUUUUUUUUUUUUCUUUUUAUUAAUGAAUUUGACAGUAGAUGAUAAAAUGGGGCAAUUUGACAUCUUUAUAAAGUAUAGGAGGUAACAUUUAUUGUGGCUAAGAUAUACAUUGUUUUAGACUACUUGAAUGAAUUAAUUAAAACUCUUUAUAUCUUAAAUGUGGAUUUAUUAAUAUAGUGUACGGUUUCGGUGUGUACUCAGUGCGUGGCUUAUUAAUCUCACGUACAACUACUAUUAAUUCUGAGUUAGAAUAUUAUUAGUACUUGAUUAGAUGUCAAUUAAUCCACUCAAGAGAUUCAGCUAAGAAUAGGAUAAGAUUUUCUGUAAUCUCCUUUACUAAUUCUGUUGUAGAGCAAUAAAAUAAGAGGGGCGAAGGCCGACCUUAACUGUAGGGAGGUGUCUAGUUAUUUUUUGCUUUUUGUGUGUGUACACGCGCGCGCAUGUGUGUAUCUCUUUCUCGUUGUUAUUGAACCGGGGGGAGAGGGGCGUGUGCUGGAGUGUGUGUGUGCGGAUGUGUGUCUUUCUCGUUCUUAUUGAGGCCAUAGCUGCCUCCAUAUUUUUAUAGCUAAAUUUAUUUUUUUAUUGAAUGAAGCAAAUAACAUGCUAUUCUUUCAAAAAAAAAGGAGAAUAAUAGUAAUAUUAUUUAUACAUUUUUAGACUAAGUAUAAGAUGUACAUCUGGCACAUCUGAAGAUGCUUUUUUUUUUUUUUUUUGUCGUCACNCUAUUAGUUUUCUAAAACUAAAAAAAAAAAAAAAUACAAACUUUAGAAUUAAAAAAUAUACAAUUUUACAUAUAUAUUAUGUUUUAUAAAAUAAUGUAAACUUUGUUCAUUUGAAUGUUACUUGCCAUGAUUUGCAACUUUAUCUAGCUAUCUAUUAUUAUAUGUAUACAUAAAGCAAAACGUGCCCUGAGCAGACACAAUUAUUAAGAAAUAAUUUAAUUUUUAUAUUGGGAUAGUUUCCUGCUGAGCUGUCUCAGUCGGAUGUGAACCGCUCAACAGUGUCCAACUCAAUAAUUGAAAGCCUACACUAGGGAAGACUGCCAAUUGAAUAAGUUUAUUUAAUCAGAGGAUUGAGUAACUUCUAGAACAUACAUGAGAUAGAGAGAGGUAUUUUUUUUUUUAUAAAUGAUACAACCAGUUUUUACGAUUGAAAAAAAAAAUAUUUAAAAAAUAAUUAUAAAAACAGAUCUUUAAUAUGUCAUAUUAAAUUUUUAAAAAGAAUAAAUAAUACGAGCGGUUGAAUGAAUUACCAUAUUUAAAUACGGCGAAUUAUUCAUCGAUUCAUAACUAUUCUUAAAAUCAACAAACUUAUUUAAAAGGUGGUGAACCGAACGUUUAUCCCUUUAUUAUUUUUCCCUUUCUCUUUCUCUCUUCCAUUCUUAUGUUUUUAAAAGCGGUGAAUCAUUUAUCGUUUUUAUAGGCCCGUAAAAAAUUUAACGAAUGCUGUGAACUAUUCACCGUUUUUACGUAUUUUAUUCUCUUCCCACCAUGCUGGCACCCACAUAACAAAACGGAGACUAUAUUUGCAAAUAAAUUUUUUUUCUUUUUUGAGGAAACAGGGGUAUACCCUAUUUGUACAAAGGCAAGAAGAUUACAAAAUUGCCGAGGCGAGAAGAUUACAAGGAGCAACAGGCCAAACAAGCUACAGGCCUAAAAGUAAACACACUUUACAGUAGAAAUGUAGAAAUGUUACUCUCAUACUUCAAUUCACUCCUCUCCCUCCCUCCCCUCCUCCAGUUAGCGCUAAUGUCCACAGAUUUAUCAAGCUAAGAACUCUAUUUGUCGUAUCGUCCAUUCGAGUAGGUCGGUUUUCGAAGAUGCGUCUGUUUCGUUCCUUCCAAAUUUUCAACAUGCUGCGGUAAAACAUAGGUCAAACCAUUUCUUACGCUUCCCUCCGACACUGCGCCUUGCUUGGUCCCAUCGGGUUGGUAGGUCACCUGGGCCAGUAGUUAUCAAAAUUCUGGCAGCUGGAGUUGUUUGUAGUAGUUGAUUCCACACCAUCGCUGCAUAACUGCAAGUGAAUAAAUGUGAUCCAAAUUUUCACUGUUUGUAGAGCAUAGUGCGCAAAUCGACGGACCGUGCCAUCCCUUUUUCACUAACGUGUCAUCCGUCAAAACUCUAUUUCUUGCCGCAAGCCAAAUGAAGAUGUUGACCCUAAGGGGGAUCUUGGUCUUCCAGAGUAGAGUUCUGCAAACAUUAGUUCCAUCAAAGGUAAGGAAAUGGUAGGCACGGCGAACCUGGAACCCCCCAUUGUCGUUCCAACGCCAGACGGUUGUGUCCAGGUUUUGAUCUAAGGCAGUGUUAAGGAUCAGGAAUCUGAGCCGCUGGAGCUCAUCAAGGCGGUCACCCUGAAUCCGUGAAGAGUGGAAGCCCAAAUUUUCAGUCCAAGCAAAGCGGCGUACCCAGUUGAAGACCGAGAGGUGUUUAUGUCGUGCGAUUGUAAAAAAGUUAGGGAAUUGACUCGUAAGAGUGAAUUCGCCGGCCCAUCUAGCAUUCCAAAAAGACGUACCUUUGCCGUUGCCUAACGAAAAGAAAAUGGAUGCAUGGAAGGGAGCAGUGGUGGUGAGGAUUCCUUUCCACAUCGGGCAGCACCUAGUCGACGCGUUGUCAUAGCUAGCCGAUUGCCUGUGCUUGUAGUGUUUUUGCUUCAGGAGUCUGACCCAAGGUAGGUGCGGCGAAUUGUAGAAACUCCAUAGGCCCUUCAUCAAUAGUGCCGAAUUCAUCGCUUGUAUCUUUCGGAUGCCCAGUCCGCCCAAUUCUUUUGGGCGGCAUACCUGAUCCCAAUUUACGAGGCAGUGGAAGCCGUUUAGUAAUUUUUUCCCUCUCUAGAAGAAAUCGCGCCGAUGGGUCUAAUUUUAGAAUAAAAUUUUUGAAGAAGUCUAGUAUACUGAAAUCUCCUAGAGAGAGCGAGAGAGAGAGAGAGAGAGAGAGCAAUACUUUUUUUUUUGAGAGAUAGAUAGCACGUUACCCGCUUCGUUUAUUUCAUUUAGAAAUAAACUCAGCUGGAAAUAUGAGUCAACUAGGAUUUGAACUUAGGUCUCGGGUACCAACCACCGAACCCUUUGCCACUUACUCUAGAAACGGUCGGUAAUAAAGAGCAAUACUAUUUACACAAUCAAUCAGAAGUAUAUAUCUCACUCAUCUAAUAGAGAAACUUUGUUUUACUUGUUACAUGAUGUGACAAAUUAAAAAAAUUCCAUCUAUAGAUGGAUGGGUGUAAAUUAUACACAUCAAAGUGUAAUGUAUGAGUCCUAAGAAGUAGUAGAUGGAUUGAUGGUGGUUUUUCCAGUAUUAUUAUUGAA
This 70296-nucleotide long non-coding RNA is filed under the name Ananas comosus (pineapple). RNAcentral describes it as "long non-coding RNA (ACOM_LNC020786)". Lineage: Eukaryota; Viridiplantae; Streptophyta; Magnoliopsida; Poales; Bromeliaceae. The record is from RNAcentral.